UUGUCCUAUGCUGAGUGAAAGUUGUGAAAGGGAGAAAGGUAAAGAUUGGCCCAAGAUUUCUCACAUUCCUCGCAUACAUAUUUAACCCAUAAUCAGCGGAGCAAAGAUGUAGCAGUUAAAAGGAGGUUUUCUUUCAAUCGUCCAACAUAUUGAGGUAUUGCUACUAAAUAGUUUAUUUUCUUUUCAGUAAUCCAAAGCAAUUUCAAUUAAAAUUUGGAUGAAUGAAAUACGGAUAUUGUCCAUUUUGUAUUGUUUUUAUUUGUUGGAUGUAGAAAUACAGAUAUUUUCUUCCUAUUGUCUCUCAUUCAUCUCCAUAAAUAAUAAUCAUCAUUCUAUUUCAAUAUAUCAAGCUGGAGGAUCAUCACAUGCUUCAGAUUUUGAACUGCCAGCACCACCCUUAAUUUGGACAGGAGGCUAUUGUCAUUGAAUUUUAGCAACGGAAUAUUUCUUUUGCUAAUUUAACAACAAAAUGUGUAUAUAUGAUUUUUUUUAAUAUUAACAAUGACAUUAGUGAUAGAAAAUCCAAGCUAAAAAGGAUUUAAAAAAUAUUAAAUUAUUUAAGUAAUUUGCAACGGAUUUUUCAUUGUUGACGUGCUUGGCAACAUCAAAUCUGCAACUGAUUCCAAAAAUAAAUCAAACCCUUAAUUAUAUAAAAUCCCCAUCCUUUCUCCUUUUCUCUUUUCCCGCAUCUUCAAAAAUUAAAAAAAAUAAAAAAUUCUCCAUCUCUUUCUCUAGUCUCUUCCCUUCUCCAAAAAUUCAAAAUUCAAAAACUUUUUUUUAUCUUUUAUUUAUUAUUUAACUUUGAUUAAAUUGUUUUUAUUCCAUAUAAAGCAGAAGUUAAAAAAUGAUUUUGGAGUACAUGUAAGUCAUAUCUUUUUUGGAGUUUACUGUUGUUCAGGACAAAUAAUUAGUCAUUUUCAUAUCAUCCGCCAUUUCCGCUCUUUAGUUAACUUGCAUACAUACAGAGAGAUCAUUUUGGUAAAAUUAUUAAGAAGCAAAGCAAAUUCCUUCAUCAGAUAUGGGAUUUCAAAGGAAAAAUAGGGAUUUAAAUCUUUACGGACCAUUCGUAAACCAUUGAUCUGAGAGAGGGAUAUUUGGGUUUCGUGCUUGUUUCAUAAAUAAAUAAAUAAAUAAAAUUUUCUCAUGAGGAGAUUUCAGAUAUAAUAAAUUAUGUUCGUUUGGAUCUACGAAGGAAAGAGGAAGAAGAAGUGGAAUGGCUAAUGGCUAAGUUCUUAAAUUGGAUGACCGGCUUAGCAAUUAAAGGGUUACUGGCUACUAAAAAAAAUGAUAUGAAUUAUUAACAACAAACAAUUAAAUAAAAAAGAAGCUGAUAACUGAAAAAUCAGCAACGAAAAUCCAAUGUGAAGCUAAAACCUAAGCUAUUAGAAUAGUCAAGUUAACUGUUUAAACUUACAAUUGUGUUAGUGGAAGUUGGAUAACUCGUUAAAAAAAUAUUAUAUUAAAAUAAAAAAUUUUAAAAAAUAUUGAUUAAAAUAUGAAGUGAAAAGAAAGAUUGGUAUAUAAUAAAAAUUAUUCCAAUCAAACCCACUUUUUCGACCAUGGGAUCUCUUGGCAAAUAAAGCAAGUAAAAUUAGUAAAAUGUGGGACCUAGCUCCAAUUUCCUAGCACUCAUAAUCGUAAUUUUAAAACUCAGCAUAGCGGGUUGACCUGGAACAUGGUUGAUUUGGGGCUGAAACCUAAUCGAAUUGAAAAAAAAAUCCGAUAUGACUCGAUUGAACCAGCGAGUUGAUCCGACCGCAAGCCCAUACUUUAUCAAUGAAAUAAAAGUGAUAAAAGAAAAGGAGAGAAGAAAUAAAGUGAAGUCUUCUUCUGCAUUAUUAGCACAUCACGUGAAAAGAAAGAUACAAACAAAGUUACUCCAUUUUCCUCUCACUUUUUCAACCGAUGGGGCUUCUUGGCAAAUAAAGCAAGGACAGACCGAGUUGAUGCGCUACCUAACUCCUUUUUCCUGGCCCGCGCAAUUCACGCAUACACAAACACAUCAAAAUUUACUUUAAUUUAGAAAAGAUUUUAAAAUUUUAUUUUUUAAUUUAAUAAUAACAAAGUUUUAUAUUAAAUUGGUUCACCUAAUUUAACCUGUUAUUUAUAAUUCAGGUUAUGAAAUUAUAAUACCUAAUUCCCAAAUAACCAAAUAUGAUUAAGUUUUUCCAAUCAAACCCCUCUUUUUUUAAGAUGUAAAGUCUAGCAAAAUAAAUCAAAGACAAACAGAGUAAAAUUUCAAAAAAAAAGAGAAAGAUGGAAUAUCCCACCAAUAUUUAACCCACUUAAAUUGAGUCCAAAUCAUAAGAGCAUCUACAAAGGAUUGUUAAAUGAAAAGUUAAAAGUUAAAAAAAUAUAUAUUAUUUUGACUCUUUCAUGUUUAUUUUAUACACUUCAAAAAAAUAUUAAAUAACAUAUCAAAAUAUCUUUUCUUUCUUAUAAAUACUAUUUCUACAUAUCUAUAAAAAAAACCAAUACUAAAAAAGUAGGGUCAUCAAAAAAUAAACCAAUUAAAUAUAGUCAUAUGAAAAAAAAAACAUCAAACUCAUUAAAAAAAAUAAAACACUUUUUUCUCUCACUCUAGUACAAUUAGCUUUUCAAAUAGUUUUUUUCAUUAAAAUAUAUAUAAUAAAAAAAUUAUAUUUAUAUUAUUCAAAAUACUAUUUUAUCAAUUUAGCUAUUCAAAACAUUGUUAUUAAACCCGACCCGGCCAGGUAGAUCGACCGAGUGACUAGACCUGUCCGGGCUUGUCAAAAAACUGGUCAGUGCAAUAACCUGGCAAAACUCAAUUGACCUGACGAGUUGACCCAUGACCCGGGGGAACUUGGACGAGCCCUUUUUUUGUUUUUUAAAUGUGGUUUUUCUCCUAUCCCUUUUUUUUAUAUAUUUUUUAGUUGGUUAUUAAUAUUUUUUAAAAUUUACUAUAUAAAUAUUAGAAAAGUAUUUUAUUUUUUCAAUGUAAAAUUUGAAAUCCUUUAGUAUAUAUACUAUAUUUUGCCAAGAAAAAAAUUUAUUUUUUCAAUGUGAGAUUUGAAACCUUUUGUAGAUAUAUUUUAUGUUCACAAGGAAAAAAUUAUGUUUUUUCAAAAUAAAAUUUGAAACCCUUCAGUAUAUAUACUCUAUAUUCCCAAGAAAAAAGUUAUUUUUUCAAAAUGAGAUUUGAAACCCUUUAAUAUAUAUAAUAUGUGUUUUCAGAUCAUUUAGAUGUGUUGGUAUCAAAAAUAAUUUUUUAAGAAUAAAAAAAUAUUAUGCAACCAACUUGGGUUAACCCAUUAAGCAUUAUUCUCGUAUCAUGGUUCAGAAUAACCUAAUAGAAAAUAAAUAAAACAAAUCAUGAAGUGUGAACCCCGAUUGAAAAUUAGGCAGAAAAGUAAUCUAAAUGUUUAUACAAUAGAUUUAACAGAAGUACCAAAUAAGCAUUAGAACAAACCAAAUACAAGCAAAAGAAAAUAUAUAAGUAAAUGUGAAUAACAUAAUGUUGGAAGUGAGUUACCUAAAAAUAAAAUUAUCAAUAUGUAACUAAAUAAAAUUCAAAUUCACCCCGGUAAAUUUUUUAUAUAGACAAAUGCCAGGUUCAGAAAUUUUUUCCCGAGAACAUGAAAUUUACUAUUUGGAUAAUAGAGGGAAUUUGGUAAAAUUUAAGAGUGGGCGCGCGCUCGGGUGAGAAGAAAAAUGGAGAAAAAAAGAAAGAUGAGAAACUACCAUUUACAUGUGAGAGAGAUAGAAUUGUAAUGAAAACAUAAAAUUUUAAGGGAAGAUCUUGAGGGAACAUUAACCAAGCUUAGUGAGCAUUAAUUGGAAGAAAUAAAAAUCAUGUGAAGGUGAGUAUAAAUGGAGAGAGGAAGUUCCACCAAGUUAAAGAAGAGGAGGAGUUGAAAGUUUCAUUUGGGAAGUGUUUAGAGUUUAAUUGAAUUUUAAUGGCUUAAAGUUCUUAAUUGAUUGAAUUCUUGAAAUUAAAAAGUUAGGGUUCUUCAAUAAAUUUGGGGGAAAUAAAAAUUAAUUGUAAUUUGUCAUGGAAAAUAGUGUGAAAAUUAGAGUAAAGUAAUUAAGUUAUUGUAAUUGAAGUAAAGUAUUUGAUAAUUAAAUAGAGUUAGUGGCCGGCCAAAUGAUGAGAGAUUUUAGGGGAUUUAAUUGUGAAUAAAUGUUGUGAAUUGAUGAAUAAUAUAGUAAGUAGAACUAUUUUUUAAAUAUCUCUUUACAACUUUUUAAAUUUCAUGGAACACUUGUGUUGAUUCUUGAGAUUGUGUGAAAUAUUACUACCAUAAAAAUAAAAAAAGAAUUGAUGUCUAGAUGAGGAAUAUCAUUGAAUUGUUGGUCCCUAUUAGAUUUUGGUAUGUAAUGGAGUCAUGAGACGUUAAAAAUUCUUGAGAGAUGUUAAAUUAGUGGCUAAAAUUCAUAGAAUGGUCUAUUUUUUAGAAAUAUAUUUUACUAUGAAAUUUAUUUGAUAAAAGAAAAGUAGGAAAUUUAUGGUAUAUUUCCUUGACAAUGAGUACCCGAUUAAACAAUAUGUAUAUUCAAUUAAAACUUAUAGUAUAUUUCCUUGACAGCGAAAUAAAAAAAAGUAGGAACCCUGUAAUAUCUAGGUAAUUUCUAUGCCCUUUUAAUGAGUCCUACAAACCGAGGCUGUAAUGAGCCCAUGACAGAAGGAGAUAGGAAAGUGUAAUUUCAGAAGACCAUCACACAAAUCAACGGCUGAAAUCCAAUCACUCAAGGGAUGGUGACACGUCGCAUGAGUAGAGACAGCUAGUCUUUAGUACGAAAAGAAAAAGAUAAAUUAUUUUUACUCUUGAUUUGUUUGAUUUAAAUAAUAUUGAAUUAAAAUUAUAAUUAAAAAUAUUUAGCUAAAAUUAUGAUUAGAAUUGAACUACCACAAAAGAUACUGGUGAAGGUGGAGAGGAUGUGAGAGGCGAUUGGGAUCCAAAACAUCAACUGUUGUGGUCAAUUCUGGAGGACUAAACACUUCAGGCUCCUUUCCCGUCCUUUUCCUCGCUGGAUCCUUGAUAUCUUCUUCAAGGUGUGCAGGCGCCUUGUUCGAGGAUUGAGCAUAGAAAGACUAAAAAUAGUUAAAUAAAUACGAAAAGACAUAAGGUGAAGUUUUUAUAAUAUUCAUAGCAAUAGCCAUCACCUCAUUUAUAAUUUACUAGUUACAUGCCCCACGCGAUGUCGCGAGUCAAUUAUUUUUUGUAUUUUAAAAAUAGUCAAGAUCUAAAAGUGUUAGGUUUUUUUAUAAAGUUAUACCCAAAAGUCUCAGUUUUGGUUGCUUCGCCUGAUCCAAGAGUAAUGUUUAUAAUAUUAAUAAUAACAUUAAACUUGGGUUAACCCUUAGCAUAAAAGUGUCUGGACUACAAUAUCAGAUCCAAUAACAUUGGACGUGGGUCUGGCUGCAAGGUCGUGUCAUAAAAGUGUGAUAAUUAAAUAGAUUAAUUAAAAAAAACCAACAGGAAGAAAAAAACUAAUAAAAAAAAAGAAAAAAAAUGAAUUAAUUGGGUUAACCCUUCAAACCAGGUUAACCCGUCAUACCUUGAAUUCGCAUCAUGAAAGUUUGAUAAUUAAAAAAAAAAAAUUAAUGGGUUAACCCAGAAUUAACUGGGCUAACUCGUCAAAUCAGGUUAACCUAUCAAACCCGGAAUCCGUGUAAUGAAAGUUUGAUAACUAAAUAGAAAAAAAUUAACAUUAAUAAUUUAAAUUAAAUGAAAAAAAUUAAUUAAAAAAAAAACAAAAAGCAUCAGCCUUUUCACUGUGGACUGCACUAUGCAGUCCACAGUCAAAGGCAUAAAAAAUAAAGGCAUCAGCCAAAAACUACUUAGAAAAAAAUUUAAUAUUAAUAAACUAAAUUAAUUAAAUAAAAUUAAUUAAAAGAAAAAUAAAAGAAAAAAACCUCUAAGAAGAAAAAAAACUAAAUAGAAAGAAAUUUAACAUUAACAAACUAAACGAAACGAAAAAAAAAUUAAAAAAAAAUUCAGGUUAACUCGUCAAACCAAGUUAACCCGUUAAACCCGGGAUCCGUGUCAUGAAUGUCUGGUAACUAAAUAAAAAAAAGUGAACAUUAACAAACUAAACUAAACAAAAAAAAAUUAAUUAAAAAGAAAAAAAAUCUGGGUUAACUCGUCAAACAUACAUACCGUUAAACCCAGGAUCUGUGUCAUGAAAGUCUGAUAACUAAAUAAAAAAAAUUAACAUUAACAAACUAAAUUAAACAAAAACAUUUAUGAAAAUAAUAAUAAUAAAAAUUAACGGUCAACCCGGAAUUAACUGGGUUCACCCGUGAAACCAGGUUAACCUGUGAAACUCGGGAUAUGUGUCAUGAAAGUCUAAUAACUAAAUAGAAAGAAAUUUAACAUUAACAAACUAAACUAAACGAAAAAAUUAAUUAAAAUAAUAAAAAGCAAAAAAAAAAUCUAUUUUAACUUGUCAAACCAAGUUAACCCGUUAAAUCCGAUAAACGUGUCAUGAAAGUCUGACAACUAAAUAAAACAAUUAAACAUUAAUAAACUAAAUUAAACAAAAAAAAUUGUUAAAAAAAACAAAGGAAGAGGCAAAAAAAAAAUCCCAAAAAACAUAAAAAAAACUAAGACAACUUAAAAAAAAACACCUAAGGAAUCAGUGUUUUACUGUGGAAAUGAAAAAAUUAAUUAAAAAAAAAUCUGAGUUAACCCAUUAAACCUGGAAUGCGUGUUAUAAAAGUUUGAGAUAGAAAAAAAUUUAACAUUAAUAAAAAAUUUUAUUUUUAAAUAUCCAUUAAAAAAAAUGAAGAAAAAGAAAAGCAAAAAGUAAAAAAAAACAUCUGAAUUAAUUGGGUUAACCCUCAAACCAAGUUAAGCCGUCAAAACAGGGAUUCGCGUCAUGAAAGUUUGAUAACUGCAUAAAAAAAAAAAUUAACGGAUUAACCCAUAAUUAAUUUGGUUAACCUAUGAAACCAGAAAAAAAAUCUGGGUUGACCCGUUAAACCGGGAAUGCGUGUUAUAAAAGUUUGAGAUACAAAAUUUUUUAACAUUAACAAAGUUUUUUUUUUUUUAAAUAUCCAUUAAACAAAAAAAGAAAAAAAAAAAAAACAAAAAAAAAAACGAAAAAAAAGACAGCUCAGUUAAAAAAAAAAAAUGAAAAAAAAGACUUAAAAAAAAAAAAAAAAAAGGAUCGGUGUUUUACUGUGGACUGCACUGUGCAGUCCACAGUAAAACACAGAUCUCUUUUAGCUAUAUAUAUAUAAUAUAAUAUAAUAAUUUAUCUAUUUAUCAAUGAGUUAAAUGACCCGCGCGAUGCCGCGGGUCAAUUAUUUUUUACAUUUCAAAAAAAAAGUUAAGAUCUAAAAGUGUUAAGUCUUUCUACAAAGUUAUACCCAAGAGUUUUAGGUUUGGUUGCAACGUCUAACCCAAUAGUAACAUCUAUAAUAUUAAUAAUAACAUUAAACUUGCAUGACUCAAAUUUAAGUGGGUUUGACUGUAAUACCAAACCCAAUAGCAUUGGACGUGAGUAUGGUUGCAAGGUCGUACGAUAAAAGUGUGAUAAUUAAAUAGAUUAAUUAAAUACAAAAAAACAAAGAAAAAAUAACUAAUAAAGAAAAAGAAAAAAAAUGAAUUAACCCUUCAAACCAGGUUAACCCGUCAAACCUUAGAUUCGCGUCGGAAAAGUUUGAUAACUAAACAGGAAAAAAAAAAAUUAAGGGGUUAACCCAGAAUUAAUCGGGCUAACUCGUCAAACCAGGUUAACCCGUCAAACCCGGAAUCCGUGUCAUGAAAGUUUGAUAACUAAAUAGAAAAAAAUUUAACAUUAACAAUUUAAAUUAAACAAAAAAAAUUAAUUAAAAAAAAAACAAAAGGCAUCAGCCUUUUUAUUGUGGACUGCACUGUGCAGUCCAUAGUCAAAAGCAUAAAAAACAACAAAAAAAAGAAAAAGAAAAACUAAAGGCACCAGCCGAGAACUACAUAGAAAAAAAUUUAGUAUUAAUUAAAUAAAAUUAAUUAAAAAGAAAAAAAACCUCUAUGAAGUAAAAAAAAAUUAAAUAGAAAGAAAUUUAACAUUAACAAACUAAACUAAAUUAAAAAAAUAAUUAAAAAAAAGCAAAAAAAAAAUUCAGGUUAACUCGUCAUACCAGACUAACCCAUUAAACCUGGGAUCCUUGUCAUGAAUGUCUGAUAACUAAAUAAAAAAAGUGAACGUUAACAAACUGAACUAAAUGAAAAAAAAUAAUUAAAUAGAAAAAAUUUGGGUUAACUCAUCAAAUUAUGUUAACCCGUUAAACUCCGGAUCUGUGCCAUGAAAGUCUAAUAACUAAAUAAAAAAAAUUAACAUUAACAAUCUAAAUUAACCAAAAAAAAUUAUGAAAAUAAAAAAACAAAAAAAAUUGACGGGUCAACCUAGAAUUAACUGGGUUCACCUGUGAAACUCAGGAUAUGUGUCAUGAAAGUCAGAUAACUAAAUAGAAAGAAAUUUAAUAUUAACAGACUAAACAAAACAAAAAAAAGUAAUUAAAACGAUAAAAAAAAGCAAAAAAUAAAUUAUGAGUUAACUUGUCAAACCAGGUUAACCCGUUAAACUUAAAAAACGUUUUAUGAAAGUUUAAUAACUAAAUAAAAAAAAUUAAACAUUAAUAAAGUAAAUUAAACAAAAUUUGUUUUGUUAAAAGAUAAAAAAAGAGCAAAAAAAAAAUCCUGAAAUUCAUAAAAAACAAUUAAAAAAAUAACACAACUUAAAAAAAAAAAAAAACAAACCUAAGGCAUUAUGAUCAUUGUUUUACUGUGUAUUGCACUGUGCAGUCCCGUGAAGGCCCCAGUCAAACACUGAUCUGUUUUAGUAUAUUUUACAAAUAUAAUAAUUUAUCUACUUUAUCAAUGAAAAGUAAUAAAAGAAAACGAAGACAAGAAAUAAAGUGAAGUCUUCUUCCGCAUUAUUAGCACAUGUGAAAAGAAAGAUUGGCAUGUAAUAAAAGUUAUUCCAAUCAAACCCACUUUAUUAAAGUUGUUGCAAAUAAAGCAAGGACAGGCCGAGUAAAGUGGGGGACAUACACUAAUAAGUUAACUAGCUUUGAUACCCGUGCGAUGCCGCGGGUUAUUUUUUUUAUAUACAAAAUAUUUUAAAAAAUAAAAAUAUAAAAAUCUUGAGUUUUUCUACAAAGUUAUACCCAAGAAUCUUGAGUUUGACUGCAACGACUGAUCUAAGAGUAAUAUUUAUAAUAUUAAUAAUAAAAUUAAACUUGCAUGACUCAAGUUUAAUUGAGCCUGACUGUAACACUGGACCUAAAAAUAUUAGAUGUGGGUCUGACUAUAAGGUCGUGUCAUAAAAGUAUGAUAAUUAAAUAGAUUAAUUAAAAAAAAACAAAGAAAAAAAUCAACAAAAGGAAAAAACUAAUGAAGAAAAAGAAAAAAGAAAAAAGAAAUUAAAUUAAUUGGGUUAACCCUUUAAACCAGGUUAUCCCGUAAAACUUGAGAUUUGCAUCAUAAAAGUUUGAUAACUAAAUAGAAAAAAAAAUGACGGGUUUACCCAGAAUUAACCGGGUUAACCUAUCAAACCUAGUUAACCCGUCAAGCCUGCUAAAAAACAAAAUCAGACCCAAUAGCCUUGUAUGCGGAUCUGGCUGCAAUGUCAUGUAAUAAAAGUGUGAUAAUUAAAUAAAUUAAUUAAAAAGAAAAAAAACCAAUUGAAAGAAAAAAACUAAUGAAGAAAACGAGAAAAAAUCUGAAUUAACUGGGUUAACCCGUUAAACCUUGGAUUCGUGUCAUGAAAGUUUGGUAACUAAAUAGAAAAAAAAAUUGACGGGUUAACCCAGAAUUAACCGGACUAACCCGUCAAACCAGGUUACCUAUCAAACCUAGGAUCCGUGUCAUGAAAGUUUGAUAACUAAAUAGCAAACAAAUUGAACAUUAACAACCUAAACUAAACGAAAAAAAUUAAUUAAAAUUUUUUUUUUUUUAAAAAAAACAAAACAAAAGACAUAAGCCUGUUACUAAUGAGGAAAAAGAAAAAAAUCUGAAGCAACUCAGUUAACCCUUAAAAUUAGGUUAACCCGUCAAACCUGAGAUUCGCGUCAUGAAAGUUUGAUAACUAAAUAGGAAAAAAUAAUUGAUGGGCUAAACGAAAAAAAUUAACAAACUAAACUAAAUGAAAAAAUUUGAUUAAAAAGGAAAAAAACAAAAAAAAAUUGGGUUAACUCAUCUAAUUAAGUUAACCCAUCAAACCCGAGAUCCGUGUCAUGAAAGUACGAUAACUAAAUAAUUUUUUUUUUCCACAUUAACAAACUAAAUUAAACAAAAAAAAAUUCAUUAAAAGAAAAAAAACACAAAGAAAAAACUAAAAUAAAAAACUCAUAGGCAUAAAAAAAGAAGGGAAAAAGAUCUGAAAAAAAAAAAAAAAAACAAACAAACACUUUAGCUACAGUAUUUUACCUACGCGUUUUAGUAUAUUAAUAUUAAUAAUAAUAAUAAUAACACUAAUUUGAGAUAUUUUUUUUACUUUGGAGUUUACAGGCAAAUAAAGUGAUGGAAGAAAAAGUCUUCUUCUGCAUGAUCACAUGAUGCGAAAAGCUUGGCAUUUGCUGAAGUUUUUCCAAUCAAACCCACUUUUUUCAAAGAUGGAAUUUCUCGGAAAAUAAAUCAAAGACAAGCCGAGUAAAAUGGAGUUCAGUGUUCUAUAUAUUUCUCAAGGGGAAAAAAAUAACGUCGUUUUCUUUUCUAUACAACUGUUUUGUUAGAGAUCUUAGCCGAUGCAUCUGAAUUAUAAUUUUUAGCAAUUAUAAUAUUUUAUAGCGCUAAUAUCUUACAAAAACAUAUUUUCUAGCUUUUUUUUUUUUUAUAGUAUGAUCAAAUAUUAAAAAAUAUUUUUCAACUCAUUAUCUUUAAUACAAUUAAAUUUCAUAGAAUUGUCUAUUUUUUUGAAAUAUAGUUUACUAUGAGAUUUAUUUGAUAAAAGAAAUUCACUUUGUAACAAUACACUAGAAAAAAAGAAGAAGAAGCUAAUGAUCAUUUAAACAUAUAGUCUCGCCAGAGAGACUAUAUUGGAAUCAUCUUGCUCAACAUGUCGAAUGAUGCAAGCGGAAGCAUAAUAAAACAACAAUAAACACAGACAAAAUAGAAAAUAAAGUUGAAUUAGGGUUAAACAUAAAAAAUCCUAUAACCUUAUUAUAUGUUUGAGUUGGCUUUUUAAAGAGGUUUACGAUGUUUUUUAUAACCUAAAAAAAACUGAUUACGCUAGAAAAUAAAAUUAAAAUCCCUAAAUAUAAAAGAAAAUAGCAUAAAACCAAAAACAAACAAUAAAUCUAAAAAUAUAUAAGAAAAAUAAUAAAUAUGAUCAAACAAACAACUUCAAAACCCGAAUCAUGCAAGUUAUAUAAUGAACAUAGUGGCUUCCCAUUAGAAAAAUACACAAGUUAUAUAUAUAUAUAUAUAUAUAUAUUAUAAUUAAAUUUAAAAAUUAUAACAAAUUAUUCCUGUUUUUAUUUUUUAACUUAAGGAUGAACAAUCUUGAAAAUGUGAGGAUGUUUAUUAAGGACUUGAGAUUGUUAACGUUGCAUCAACAGCCGGCUGAUCUUGUCAAUUCUGCUUAGACAAAAGGGUGUUGGCAAGUGCUUUCAAACGAUGUCAAGGAAAAAAUAAAUUUAAAGGAUAAAUUUUUUUUAAAAUCAAAACAAAAUAUAUAAAAUUAAAAGAUUGAAGAACAGAUUUUAUAUAAUCAAUAAAUAAUUUAAUAUAUUUUUUUAUUUUUUUACAACUUUUGAAAAAUAUAUUUGACUCAAAAUAAUAAAAAAUAUUUUUAUGAAAACAAGUCAAACAUUUUUUUAAUUUAGAAGUUUUUUUUAUUAAAUAAAUUUUUCAACGACAAACAAAUAUAAAAAAAGAAUUAAAAAAUGAUUUAUCAGAAAACCACAAACAAACUGUGCCUAGACUUCUUUAAUUUAGAAUUGCAAAUGUAUUUUGUUUGCAGUUUCUUCGUCUCUCUACCCUCCAAUCGAGGAUUUGACAACGACAUUGCAUGAUUUCUCUCUGGUCUAUGAACCAUUAAACAACAAUCACUCGAAACCCACGUACAGUCCCUGCCAUCCUCUCUUUCCAUUAAAAUGGAAGUCGCUGCAUGUGUUGCAUGUUCUCAUUAAGUCAAUAUGUGCAUGCAUGAUUAAUUAUGCACUUUGUAACCAUAAAUCUUCCUUUAAUCAUUCCAAAAAAGAAAAAAAUAGAAAAGAUUUUCUCUGAUCUGUUUGGUGAGUCCCAAUUAUCACUGGCUUUCAAUUUCCAUCCCGUCCUUUCUAGCUGGAUUGCGUGUUUUUUCUCUUCUUUUCUUUUUUGCUGGAAUACAAUAAUGCAUCACAAUGGUUAAUUCCAUGGUAAUUUCUUUAAUCAUUUAUAUACAUAAAUUUGGUUACAGAGGAGAAUGACACUUCCACCUCUAUAUUCAAAUAUUUAUUAAAAAUAUAGUUUAAUUGAUUAGGUUCUGAAUUUGUUUUUUAAAGGUUAAUAAUUCAAGUUUUAUAAACCUCAUAGUUAUUAAAGACUUACAUGAUCAUUAGCUUAGGACCUACGAAAUUAGUUGAAGUACGCACAAACUAGUCAAGAAAUCCAUGUUAAUUUUUAAAAAAAAAGUUUUGUAUUUUUAUUCAUUUUUAUUUAUAUAGUAUCUUUGAAAACAAAACAUCAAAUAUAACAUUGAUGGUUCAGAAAUAAUUCCAAAUUUCGAAGUAUACCAAAUAAUUACUUCCAAUCCACCCCAUUCAUAGAUCGUGUUAAAAACCAUGCUGUAUAUAUUUGAGGGGUGCAAGCGCCUUGUUUGAGGAUUGAGCAUAAAAGACUAAAAGAGUUAAAUAAAUACUAAAAGACAUAAAGUGAAGUUCUUAUAAUAUUCAUGGCAAUGGUCAUCAGCUCAUUUAUAAUUUAUUUAUAUACUUUAUCAAUGAAAUAAAAGUAAUAAAAGAAAAGGAGAGAAGAAAUAAAGUGAAGUCUUCUUCCGCAUUAUUAGCACAUCACGUGAAAACAAAGAUCGGCAUAUGAUAAAACCCAUUCUUUUCAAAGAGCAUAACAAGGGCCGAGAGAGACAAGGCUUUUGCGAGUUCUGUAUAUUUUUCUGUGGUGGUCCCAGCUAUUAUGUUGCUGACACUGGAUAGAGAGACUUCAACCACCAAUCAAAUUAUUUUUAUUGACCUUUUGUGCUGUUCGUCACUUUCCUUCGCUCCUUCUCUCUUUGCUGUCAAAUUUCAAAAACCUUAGCUAUUAGAAUAGUUGAGUGUUUGUUUUUGUAUUUUAAAAGAGUUUUUAAGAAUUUUAAAUGUUUUUAUUUUAAAUCAAUUUUUUAAUUGACUCCAUAAUAGAAAAGAUGCCAUCCCCCUAAUACAAAACUCUAAAAAAAAACAAUGAUCGUGCCACCACCGGUGGUUGUGCUGUUUUAUGACAUCACAAGCCAUAUAAGUAGCUGAUUAGAAUGAUUUUGUAUGGGACCCAGUUGUGACAUCAGCUGUUUUUGUGUUUUCUCUUUCAAUCAUAGCUAAAGACUAGGCAUGGCAUGAUAAUCGAUGGAUGGGGGUAGGGAUAAUGGGAGCCACAUGAUCCAUUUCGUGGUUGUUUCUUUCUUCUAUAAAGAAGAUCAUGCCAUCACGGAUCUUACGGGAUUGAUAUCUUGCCCGGUGUUGAUUUACUACAAUGGCUGCACGUGAACCCGUCCUCCAGGACAACUCCCAACAAGUGUCUGUCUAUCACUCUCAAAUUAAUUUGAUAUUUCUGUUCCAGUGCCUCCAUAGAAGAGUAUAGGUGUUAAUCAUUUUUUAUUUUUAUAUUUUAAAAGUUUUUUUUAAUAAUUUUUAUUUUUUACUUUAGAUUUUUUUUUGAUAUUUUUAGAUAUUUUGAUAUAAAAAUAUCAAAAAUAAUUUUUUUAAAAUAAGAAAAUAUUAUUUUAAUAUUUUUCCAAAUAAAAAACAUUUUAAAAAACAACAACAAUCAUAUUUUUAAACAACUCCUAAACCUUUCCCAUUUUUUUUGAGAUUAUAGUACCGAUGUUAUUUUAAUAUUUAAAAAAAAAAUCUUAAUUUUUUUAAAAUUAAAUUAAGCUUUUCUUUGAGUUCAAACAAAUCAAUGAGGAAGGUUGGUUAUUUGUCCUGCCGCACCAUCCUAAAAUGUAAUGUAAUAACCAAUGUAAUUUGAUGUUUGUGUUUCAUGGGUUCGUGUUGUUGAUGCGUGCUAUUGUACUUUCUAGGUGAUAAGGAAAAAAUUAUUUAUUUUGUCAAAUAAUUUAUAUUUUUUUAUAUUUAGCUUUGUUUGUAAUUGCAUUUCCAAUGUUAAUUUAUAUAGGCCUUGAAUUGGUACCUUUUUAUCAGUUUGAGCGUAAUUACCACCAACUUUCUGUAGGAUGAUAUGGGUAUUUUAGAUAGUGUAGCAUGAUCUUUACCUGUUACGUUUUUUUUUUAUAGGAUAAUUAUUCUCUCUUUUUAUGUUUAUUUAACUUAAGGAUAAUCAGUCUCGAAAAUGCGAGGAUGUUUAUCAAAGAGCAGAGAUUGUCACGCUGCAUUAACAACCAACUGUUGUAGUCAAUUCUGGUAGGCUAAAAGUCAUCCACUUGAUUGAUUAAUGGACAUUAGCUGUUUAGCACUCCAUGGUACUUCAGGCUCCUUUCCUACCCUUUUCCUCGCAAGUGACUUGUUAAUUUGCUUUAUUAGUAUCGGUAAUUUUGUGCAGAACUGUUAUUAUUCUUUGAAAUCAGGCACGGUUCGAGGAUUCAGCAUAAAAGAAUUUGGGUAUAUUAAUUAAAGCUAAAUUUAUUUUUUUUAAUCUCAACACAAAAAAAAUUGAAACAGACAUGUUUUUAUGUACUUUAUAUCUUGAAAAUACAAGAAUCCGUCUAAAUUAAUACAUAUUUAUUUUAUAUCUUUGUUUUCAUCUCCUUGAGCAAACGUGUUUUUAUCAUUUCAAUGUCUAUCGUUUUUAUUUAGUAAUAUUUAACCAAAGGCCACCUUAAAGAUUCAUGCAUGAAACAUCCAUUUCCUAAUCAAGUACUAGGCCAAUUCUUUCAAGUUUAUAUGUUAGACUUACAAUAAAACACUAUGUUAUGUUUGGUAACCAGUAUAAGCAUCAACAAAGUUAAAUAAAAGGAUCAAACCCAAACACAUUAGUGUAAAACAAGGAUCCAAUUAUCAUCGAGCCUAUUUUAACUUAAUCUCAACAAUCGUGUCACUAGUUAUUAAUUAUAACCCAUAUCUUGCACCAGAAAAAAGAAGUUACCAUAACCAAAGCACAUGCGUCUCAUAUAAUUUGAUUACUUGAAAUAUGUCUUUGAGGUAUAAUGACAUCGAAUAGACAAGGUAAUUGAAUUAAAUUAUAGGUCUUUUACCGAUAUUUUAUUAAAAUAAUAUUUGUUUAUUUUUUUAAAAUAAAAUAAAUCUUUUUUAUGCUGAUUUAACUAGGUUUAGAUCAGGUUUUGUCUAAUAAUAAAAUCAUUAAAAAUCUAGUAAGGUAAACAUAGUUUCAUUGCAUCAAUGCUUUUCUAAUUUAAUUUUAAAUUUGAUCAUGUCAAGAUUUGAAUUUUAUAGCUUCCAAUAGCAAAUCAAAUCACGGACAUAAUUAAAAAAUGAUACUAUAAAUAAAUAAAAAAGAUUUUGGAAUAAAAUGAUCCACAUAUAUAUAUAUAUAUAUAACAAGGUAAAGGGUCAAACGGUGGAAGAUAAAAACCAAUAAUGUCUCAUAAUAAUUUCAUUUAUUGUGAAGAGUUACUAUAUUGAUUGUUUUUAUAUUUUUUUUUAAAAUCACAUCCAUUUAUCUAAAAUUACUAGUCUUUAAAUAAUAAAAUAAUUUUUUAUAUAUAAUUUGCUCUACAGAUCACAGUUAUUAAACCCGGCCCGGCCCGGCGAGUCGACCCGGUGCUGGACCGGUUCGGGUUUAAUAAAAGACCGGUUGUGGCAACAGCCCGGCCAGACCCAGGCGACCCGGGCAAACCCGGACGAGACCCGAGUUUUUUUUUUUUUUUUUUAAUUUGGGAUAAAAAAAAAUUUGGUUUAAAUAUUUCAACUUAAAAUGAUAACAUAGUAUCUUUUCAAUGUGGGGUUUGAAGCCCUUUCAUAUAUAUACUUUAUGUUCACAUGAAAAAAAUUAUAUUUUUUCAAUGUGGGAUUUAAAACCCAUUAGUAUAUAUACUUUAUGUUCCCAAGGAAAAAAUCAUGUUUUUUCAAUGUGGGAUAAAAAACCUUUUAGUUUAAAUACUUCAACUUAAAGGGAUAACAUAGUAUCUUUUCAAUGUGGGAUUUGAAGCCCUUUCAUAUAUAUACUCUAUGUUCCCAUGAAAAAAGUUAUGUUUUUUCAAUGUGGGAUUUGAAACCCAUUAGUAUAUAUACUCUAUGUUCCCAAGGAAAAAAUCAUGCUUUUUCAAUGUGUGAUAAAAAUCCUUUUGGUUUAAAUACUUCAACUUAAAGGGAUAACAUAGUAUCUUUUCAAUGUGGGAUUUGAAGCCCUUUCAUAUAUAUACUCUAUGUUCCCAUAAAAAAAGUGAUGUUUUUUAAACUAAAAUGUUUUUUAUCCCACAUUGAAAAAACAUGAUUUUUUUUCUUUAGGAAUAUAGAGUAUAUAUACUAAUGGGUUUCAAAUCCCACAUCGAAAAAACAUAUGAAAAGUUUUUUGAGUUAGACAAAUACUAAGCAACAUUCUAGCAUGUGCAAUGAAGUUUUUACAAUAUUCGUAGUAACGGUCACCAGCUAAUUUAUAAUUUAUAAAUCUACUUUAUCAAUGAAAAGUGAUAGAAGCAUAGUUAUUAAACCCGAUCCGAAAGCCGGAUUUCAGAUUUCAUGGAUCAACUCGGAUUAACCUAAAAAAAUUAAAAAUACAUAUUUAAAGUUUUAAUAUUUCAUAUAUAAAAAUUAAGAAAAAAUUAAACUCAUGUAAAUAUAGGCUAUACUUAUUGUAAAUAAUGAAGUUUAAAAAAUAUAUUUUAAUUUUUUUUUAUCAUACAUUAAAAAGAUACUAUAUUAACCUUUUAAGUUGAAGUAUUUAAAUCAAAAACGUUUUUUAUCUCAUAUUGAAAAAAUAACUUUUUUCUUUGGAACAUACAAUAUAUAUAUUAAUAGGUUUCAAAUCUCACAAUAAAAAACAUAAUUUUUUUCUUGGAAACAUAUAUAUAUAUAUAUAUAUAUAUAUAUAUAUAUAUAUAUAUAUAAAAGGACUUUAAAUUCUACAUUAAAAAAAUAUUAUAUUAUCCUUUUAAGUUAAAGUAUUUAAACUAAAAAAUAUUUUAAAUUGAUCUGCUGAUAUGGUAAAAUCCAGAGAUUUCUUGGAAAAUAAAUGAAAGACAAACAGAGUAAAAUGGAGUCCAGAGCAUACAAGAGCCGAGAUUGAAACAGGAAAUGCAAGAAAAAAAAGAUGGGCCCUUGUUUUCUCUUUUUUAUGGCCGGCGACUGGAUAUAAAAAGGGAGGAGAUGAAGUGCCCGUUUGGUAACGUGGCUGCGGGUGAGGUUCACCCGCAGCUACGCCAAAUGCCGUUUGGUUAACAAGAAAAAAUUGCUUUUUUGAUAGUGGAACACAUGAAAUUUUCAGACGCGCCACAUGUUUUGGAGAAGCAGCAAAAUGCUGCUUCUCAUAGUAUAGAAAAGCAGAACAGUGGAGCCAUGCUCCACUGUUACAGUUUUAGUUUUUUUUUUUUUUGAAAAACAUUGCGAGAAGUUAAUUUUUUUUUUCUUGAAAAAUUAUUUCAAUUAAUUGAUUUUACUCGCAUUGUGAACGUGAACAUGAACAAUAUUAUUUUUUAAAAAAAUUAGUUUAAGGUGAAUUAAAUUUACUCGUAUUGUAAUAUCAAUUUUAUUCCUGAUAAUAUUUUAUUUAAUUUUAUUGCACGCUCAAAAAAUUAUUUUUUCUGUAGUUCUUGUCAAAUGAAUUUUAUACAUAAUAAAAUUGUAAUUUUUUUAAAAAAAUUUUGUUUUACUUGAAAAACUACUAUUUAAUAUUAUUUAAUAACACAUCAUAUAAAAAGAAAUUCAGUUUUUAUUUUUAUUUUAAUUGUGUUUUAUUCAAAAACUUAAAAGGAGAUCGCUCAAUGACGUAACAAAAAAUUCAGUUUUUUGUUGUUGCGCGCUUAAGAAACCAUGAAAAAUAUAGUCCUUGUUAGAUAGAUUUCGUAUGUAAUGACAUUGCACAUAGUUUAAUGGAAGAAUAAAAAAUAUUUGAUAUCAAUAUUAUUUAUUUCAUGAUAUAAUAACAGUGGUUAAAUCUACAAUAUUUAAAUUAAAAAUCAUUAAUAUAUAAAUUUUUUAAUUAUUUUAUAACCUCAAUUUGAAAAGUAUUUUUUUACCAGACACAUUAAACUACUUUUUAUUCAAUUUCAACCACAGUUUUAACUAAACAUAUAUUUUUUCAAACCAACCUUAACUAAAAAUACUUUUUAUAAAAUAACUUUUUUAAAAUAAUAACCACAAUAACAACCUCAAUACCAAACAGACCCGAAGCUUUCAAAUUAUUUACAAUUUUGCGGUCACUUAUUGUGUCCAUGUCGUUUUGUGUAAUUGCCCAGCUACCGGUACUAUUUUAACACUGUUAAAAGUCUAAAUUAUCAAUAUUUCCCCAAUUUAUCUCUAAAAAAAAUUCACUUCAAUUAAUAGCAUUUUUUUUUAUUUCUUUUGUCAAUGUUUACCUCUUUUUGAUAAACUUGUAUAUUUUUGUACCAGAGGUCUAAAAUUAUUGUGUCCACUUAUUACUUAUUUAAAUUCAUUAGAAUGUUUUAAAUAACUUUUUUAAAUUUUAAUCCCAGAGUUUACAUGCGUAAUACAUGAGUUAUAUAAAUUAUGAUUCAAAAUAUUGUUAUAACUAAAUUAAAAAAAAAAUACAAAUGAUCAAACCAUUGAUGCUGGUGAUGCUCUCGUCUCCAGAAUGGUCCGCUUGUACUUGGCUGAUGGAGCUGAGGGAAAGCCAAUGGCUACAAAGUGCGAAUGUGAUUUUCGCGAAAUGAAUUAGGGCAAGCAAAUUUUGUUCUCCGUCAUUUUGUAAAUUCUCGCAGCUGCUUGUUAGACGCCAUAAAUAGUCUAAGCUUGUUGUUGAGAUUUUUUAUUUUCUGUAUAUGAAUUUAGAGUUAAUUUCUUGAAUAUUAAGUUUUCUGAUUUUUCUAUAUAAUUAAUUUUUUAAUUUGAUUUGAUUAGUAUUAUCGUACAUUUCUCAUUCUAAAAAAAAAAAAAUACCAGAAGAAUAUUUUCUUUCUAUUGAAAACAUUUGUGGUUAGAACAAAGUAAUUUUUACUGGAGUGUCGUUUUGGGAUGCAGCAUGAACUUUACCUGUCUAAUUUGUACGGCGUGAGAAGAUGUUGCUUUCCAUGGCUUCUCCUUAAAAAAAUUCCAUCACAUUUGACAAUUUUGUUAUAAAAACAAAAGAUAUAUCUUUUAAAGAAGAGAAGUGAUACCUAAAAUUUAUAAAUGAUCUAAACUCUUAAUUUUUAAUCGAUGAUCAUGUUACUGAAAAAACGUACUACGCUUGGAGGACAUAGAGAACGUCCUACGCUUUCAUUCGAGUUUAGCGCACACGAGAAACCUGAAUUCUUUAUAAGAAGCUUGGUAUAAAUAUAUUUCUUCUUAGACAUUAAUUAUUCAUGCAAUUGAAGUUGAGUUUGGGUUAGGUUUUGGAUAGGGCAUGGUAAUAUCUAACCUGAUCUGAAACUUGAUUUUUUAUCUUCAAGUUUUACAUCAAAUCAACUUGAAUUAAAAAAUUUCUUAAUUAUUUGAAUAAGUUCAAGACAAUAUCCAUAGAAUUCAAGUGAAAUCGGCCCGAGGAGGAUAUACAAGUAGACUUCUAGUUUUCUCAAAUAUUUUAAUUUUAAUGAUUGGACAAGAGAGCAAAAAUACCAUAUUAAUAUUUUUUUUCUUUUUAUGAAAAUAAAACAUAUCUUUUCUCACUAGCACAUAUUCAUCCCAACUUGAAAAUACAUUUUUAAUAACGUGAUUAUACGAUGAGGUCCCCACUUGUCAGGUAAAGCUUCGGCACCUCCUUCAAUCCUAGUUUGGGAAACAGAAGCACUCUAUCACCAUUAGUUUUCCCCGAGGAAGACAGCACCCCGAUUCCCUCCUCCUGUGCUGAUGAUGGGGCAUGAGAGAGAGUCCAUACGAGUUCAAAAUAAAAUUAUUAAUAUAUAAUUAAAUAAAAUUAAAAUUCACCUAGGUAAAAUUUUUAUAUAGACAAAUGCCAGGAUACAAAAAUUUUAUCCCGGGAACAUGAAAUUUACUAUUUGGAAUAUAGAGGGAAUUUAGUAAAAUUUUAGCGUAUGUGUGCGUGCUCCAGUAAAAAGAAAAAGAAGAAAAGAAAAAGAAGGAAACUAUCAUUUACAUAUGAGAGAGAUAAAAUUGUAACGAAAACAUAAAAUCUUAAGGGAAGAUCUUGAGGGAAAGUAACUAAGCUUUGUGAGCAUUAAUUGGAAGGAAUAAAAAUUAAAUGAAGGUGAGUAGAAAAGAAGAGAGGAAGUUCAACCAAGAUUGAAGAAGAGGAGGAGUUGAAAGCUUGAUUUGGAAAGUGUUUAGAGUUUAAUUACUUGCUUGGUAAUGCAUUCUAAAGACAUUUGAUCUAAAUUUUAAUUGCUUAAAGUUCUUAAUUGGUUGAAUUUUUGAAAUUAAAAAGUUAGGGCUCUUGAAUAAAUUUGAGAAAAAUAAAAAUUUAUUUUAAUUUGUCAUGGGAAAUAAUAUGAAAAUUAGAGUAAAGUGAUUAAAUUAUUAUAAUUAAAGUAAAAAUUUUGAUAAUUAAAUAGAGCUAGUGGCCGGCUAAUGAUGAGAGAUUUUAGAGGAUUUAAUUGUGAAUAAAUAUUGUGAAUUGAUGAACAAUAUAGUAAGUAGAACUGUUUUUUGAAUAUCUCUUUAUAACUUUUUAAAUUUUAUGGAACACUUGUGUUGAUUCUUGAGAUUGUGUGAAAUAUUACUACCAUGAAAAUAAAAAAAGGAAUUGAUGUCUAGAUAAGAAAUAUCAUUGAGUUGUUGGUUAAAAUCCAUAAAACGGUCUAAUUUUUAGAAAUAUAGUUUACUAUGAAAUUUAUUUGAUAAAAGAAAAGUAGGAACUUUAUGGUAUAUUUCCUUGACAAUGAGUACCCGAUUAAACAAUAUUUAUAUUAAAUUAAAACUUAUGGUAUGUAUCCUUGACAGCGAAAUAAAGAAAAGUAGGAACCUUGUAAUAUCUAGGUAAUUUUUAUGCCCUUUUAAGGAGCCCUACAAACUGAGGCUAUAAUGAGCCCAUGACAGAGGGAGACAGAAAAGCAUAAUUUCAGAAGACCAUGACACAAAUCAACAGCUGAAAUCCAAUCACUUAAGGGAUGGUGACAUGUCGCAUGAGUGGAGACAACUGGUCUUCAGUACAAAAAGAAACAAAGCGUUUUCAUUGUUUAAUUUGUUUUUUGAAGUGUCUUUGUUCUCGUGAUUGCUCUUGUGGUGAUGGAGACUUUAAAAAGAUAGUUUAUAAAAAUUAUUUUCACUCGUGAUUUGUUUGAUUUAAAUAAAUAUUUAAUUAAAAAUGUUUAACUAAAAUUAUGAUUAAAAUGGAUGUUUUAACUUAAAUUACCACAAAAGACACUGGUAAAGGGGGAGAUGAUGUGAGAGACGAUUGGGUAUUUUAUUUAAUUGUCAAAACAUUAACUGUUGUGGUCAAUUCUGGUGGACUAAAAGCCAUCUACUUGAUUAAUGGCCCUUUUCCUCGCUGGAUCCUUGAUAUUUUCAAGGGGUGCAAGCGCCUUGUUCGAGGAUUGAGCAUAAAAAGAUUAAAAAGAGUUAAAUUGAAAUAUAACUAAAACGGAUGAGUGUUUUAUUUUUAAGUGGUCAAUUCCUAUUGUUUUACGUGUUUUUUUUAAAAAAAAUUUUGCUUUUUUUUUUAAGUUUUUUUUUUUUUUUUUAAUUGAGCUGUUUUUUUUUUUUACUUUUUGCUUUUUUUUUUCUUUGUUUUUGUUUAAUGGAUAUUUUAAAAAAACAAAAUUGUUAAUAUUAAAUUUUUUUGUAUCUCAAACUUUUAUAACACGCAUUCUGAGUUUAACGGGUUAACUCAAAUUUUUUUUUCCUGGUUUCAUAGGUUAACCAAAUUAAUUAUGGGUUAACCCGUCAAUUUUGUUUCUAUACAGUUAUCAAACUUUCAUGACGCGAAUCCCUGGUUUGACGGGUUAACUUGGUUUGAGGAUUAACCCAAUUAAUUCGAUUUUUUUUUUAUUUUUUGCUUUUCUUUUUCUUCAUUUUUUCUUUGUUUUUUUUAAUGGAUAUUUUAAAAAUAAUUUUUUUUAUUAAUAUUAAAUUUUUUUCUAUCUCAAACUUUUAUAGCACGCAUUCCAGGUUUAAUUGGUUACCUCAGAUUUUUUUUUUUGGUUUUUCUUUUUAAUUAAAAUUUUCAUUUUCACAAUAAAACACUGAUUCCUUAGGCCUUUUUUUUUUUAAAUUGUCUUAGUUUUUUUAGUUGUUUUUUUUAUGUUUUUUGGGAAUUUUUUUUGCUUCUUCCUUUGUUUUUUUUUUAACAAAAUUUUUUUGUUUAAUUUAGUUUAUUAAUGUUUAUUUUUUUUUUUUGUCAGACUUUCAUGAUACGUUUACCGGAUUUAACGGGUUAACUUGGUUUGACAAGUUAAAAUAUUUUUUUUUUUGCUUUUUAUUCUUUUUAAUUAAUUUUUUUUUUGUUUAGUUUAGUUUGUUAAUGUUAAAUGUCUUUCUAUUUAGUUAUUAAACUUUCAUGACACAUAUCCUGAGUUUCACGGGUUAACCUGGUUUCACGGGUGAACCCAGUUAAUUCCGGAUUGACCCGUCAAUUUUUUUUUUUUCAUAAAUGUUUUAGUUUAAUUUAGUUUGUUAAUGUUAAUUUUUUUUUUAUUUAGUUAUCAGACUCUCAUGACACAGAUCCUGGGUUUUACGGGUUAGCAUGGUUUGACGUGGUAACCCCUGUUUUUUUUUCUUUUUAAUUAAUUUUUUUUUGUUUAGUUUAGUUUGUUAAUGUUCACUUUUUUUUUAUUUAGUUACCAGACAUUCAUGACACGGAUCCUGAGUUUAACGGGUUAACUUGGUUUGACGAGUUAACCUGAUUUUUUUUUUAAUUAUUUUUUUCGUUUCGUUUAGUUUCUAUUUAGUAUUUUUUUCUUCUUAGAGGUUUUUUUCUUUUAUGUUUUCUUUUUAAUUAAUUUAGUUUAUUAAUAUUAAAUUUUUUUCUAAUUAGUUUUUGGCUGAUGCCUUUAGUUUUUUUUUAUGCCUUUGACUGUGGACUGCACUGUGCAGUCCACAGUGAAAAGGCUGAUGCCUUUUGUUUUUUUUUUUAAUUAAUUUUUUUUGUUUAAUUUAAAUUGCUAAUGUUAAUUUUUUUUCUAUUUAGUUAUCAAACUUUCAUUACACGGAUUCCGGGUUUGACAGGUUAACUUGGUUUGACGAGUUAGCCCAGUUAAUUCUGGGUUAACCCAUUAAUUUGUUUUUUUUUUUAAUUAUCAAAUUUUAAUGAUGCGAAUUCAAGGUAUGACGGGUUAACCUGGUUUGAAGGGUUAACCCAAUUAAUUCAUUUUUUUUCAUUAGUUUUUUUCUUCUUGUUGGUUUUUUUUAACUACUCUAUUUAAUUAUCACACUUUUUUAACACGACCUUGCAGUCAGACCCACGUCCAAUGCUAUUGGAUCUGGUAUUGUAGUGCAGACACUUUUAUGCUAAUGGUUAACCCAAGUUUAAUGUUAUUAUUAAUAUUAUAAACAUUACUCUUGGAUCAGGCGAUGCAACCAAAACUGAGACUUUUGGGUAUAACCUUACAAAAAAACCUAACACUUUUAGAUCUUGGUUAUUUUUAAAAUGCAAAAAAUAAUUGACCCGCGGUAUCGCGCGGGGCAUGUAACUAAUACUAAAAGACAUAAAGUGAAGUUUUUUCAGCUCAUUUAUAAUUCAUAAUUUAUUUAUCAAUGAAUGAAAAGUAAUAAAAGAAAAGUGAUAAAAGAAGAAGAGAGAAGAAAUAAAGUGAAUUACCAUCUUAGGAUCUCUUGGCAAAUAAAGCAAGUAAAAUUAAUAAAAUGUGGGACCUAACUCCAAUUUCCUAGCACCCGCAACCCACGCAUACACAAACCCGUACUUUAUCAAUGAAGGAAAAGUGAUAAAAGAAGAAAAGAGAAGAAAUAAAGUGAAGUCUUCUUCUGCAUUAUUAGCACACCACGUGAAAAUAAAGACUGGCAUAUAAUAAAAGUUAUUCCAAUCAAACCCAUUUUUUCGACGAUGGGAUCUCUUGGCAAAUAAAGCGAGGACAACCGAGUAAAAUGGGGGACAUAACUCGUUUUUCCUGGCACACGCAACUCACGCAUACACUAACACUAAUUUGAGAUAUUUUUUUUUACUUUGGAGUUUACAGGCAAAUAAAGUGAGGAAGAACAUCUUCUUCUGCAUCAUCGCAUCACGUGAAAAGCUUGGCAUUUAAUGAAGUUUUUCCAAUCAAACCCACUCUUUUCAAAGAUGAAAUUUCUAGGAAAAUAAAUCAAAGACAAAACCGAGUAAAAUGGAAUUCCCGGCAUAAUGAUUAUUUUUUAAUAUAUUUUUUAUUUUUAAAAAAAUUAAAUAAUAUUUUUUUAUUUUUAAAAAUUAUUUUCAAUAUCAACACAUCAAAAUUAAAAUGAUUUAAAAAUAUUAAAAAUAUAUUCAUUUAAAAUAAAAAAAAUUUAAUUUUUUUUAAAAAUACUUUCCACCAAAAACAUAUUAGUCAAUAUCUGCAUGAUUAAUUAUGCACUUUGCAACCAUAAAUCUUCCUUUAAUCAUAAGAAUAUCUGCUGUUCAUAACGAGUCAUUCAAGUAUGAUUAUUUACUUAAAUAAUUAAUUAUGUUUAAUUAGAUCUAUCCAUAAGUUUGCAAUUGAGCUAAUUGUUCUAUAAUUACUGUAGCUAUGAAAGGUCAAGCACAAUUUCAUCCAAAACAAAACUCGUUAUUUUCAAAAAGAAAAAAUACCCCAAUUUUUUUCUUAUAUUUUAGUAUUUUUUAUAUUUAAAGGCAGUAUAGUUGUAAUAUUUUCAAGUAAUCGAAACAACCACCUAUGCAUCAAUUAUAUGAUAUACUGACUUGACUUUCCCAAGUGUUUUGAGUUUUGAGUACUAGAAGAAGAAAAUAUACUUCUCUCUAAAAAAUAAGGAAAUUUCAGAUGUAUUUUCUUUUAACUGGCGAAAAAACAGGAAGACGAAGAAAGGAAUAUUUUAUUUCUUCUAGGAGUAUGGUUAGCACGAGAGAAAAGAAAAGGGAAAGGCCUAUCGACUCUUUUUUUUUCCAUGUUCACGGGUAGUACGGAUCGCUUACCAUGAAAGCUAAUGGAAAUGCUCUUUCUCCAUGAAAGCUAAUGGAAAUAUGUAUAAAUCAUCAUUUUAUCUUUAUGUAGCAUAUUGUCCGAAGAUUGGGAAAUUUCGUGGGAAAUUGUCCGAAGACAGGAAACGUAAUUUCUCUCUAAAAAAUAAGGAAAUUUCAGAUGUAUUUUCUUUUAACUGGCGAAAAAACAGGAAGACAAAGAAAGAAAGGAAUAUCUUAUUUCUUGUAGGAGUAUGGUUAGCACGAGCUAUAAGAGUUGUACACGAGAGAAAAGAAAAGGGAAGGCCUAUCGAUUCUUUUUUUCUAUGUUCACAGGUAGUACGGAUCGCUUACCAUGAACAUCAAACCUAUCAUUCAUAAACUGUGCCUAGACUUCUUUAAUCAUUUACAUAUAUAAAUUUGGUUAAUCAAGUUGGAGAAGUUCGUGUCAAGAACCAUGCUGUAUAUGUUUGAUAAUGCAGUGAAUAUAAUUUUACAACAAUAUUUUUCAAUUAAUAAAAUAUUUCUUAAAGAAAUUUUCAAUAAUCUUGUUAAGAAAUUUGGGUGGCCAGACAUUUUAAAGAAUGAUGCUAGUUUCUGGCCACAAGUGGUCAUGCUAGUGACUAAUCACUUUUUGAUCAUGUCUGAUACUGGUGGUGAUCUUUUUUAUCAUCGUAUUUUCCAUCAAUUUUUUUUAACAAAAAGAAAGUUUUUAAAAUGAUUUUGUGAAAAUAACUUUUUAUAAAACAAAUGGUAACUAGUUUUGCAAUAUAUGCGCUUCAAAAGAAAGACCAAAGGUGACAUUUAUUAUAACUUUGCAACCACUGCUAGAUGUUCAUCAUGGCGUCUUCUUCUUCUUUGCCUAGACCUGUUUUGGUUUCCGAUGUAUUUCUAAGUUUUAGAGGUGAAGAUACUCGCAAAAAUUUUACGGAUCAUCUUUACACUGCUUUAGACCGAGCAGGAAUCCAAGCAUUUCGAGAUGACGAAAAACUUCGUAGUGGUGAAGAAAUCUCCUUACAACUCUCCAAAGCAAUUCAAGAAUCCAAGAUUUCUAUAGUGGUUUUCUCUAAGGGCUAUGCUUCCUCCACUUGGUGCCUUGGUGAACUUCUAAAGAUUCUUGAAUGCAGACACACAACUGGUCAGAUUGUUCUACCUGUUUUCUAUGAUAUCGAUCCUUCUGAUAUUAGAAAACAGACGGGGAGUUUUGCUAAAGCUUUCCGUAGACAUAAAAGACGUUUUAAGGAAGAAAUGGAGAAGGUCCAAAAGUGGAGAAAAGCUCUUGUGGAGGCUGCAAAUUUAACUGGGCUGGAUCGUCGCAGUAUCGCAAAUGGGUACUUCUUUUCUUCCCCUAUAUCAAUAGCAAAGGCUCAUAACUUUUACCCUUAUUACAUUUUGUAUUUUAAAUUUGCAUUAAAUUCAAAAGAUUAUCUUUCAUCGAUGAGUGAUGACUUUCUUUUUCUAUCCACAGGCACGAAUCAAAAUUAAUUCAAAAGAUUGUCGAAGAAGUUUCAAGUAAAUUGUAUCCCAGAAGCAUGAACGUUAGUAGUCUGCUGCAGAAGUUGAAGACAGCAAUGAUACCUGGCAGGGGGCUGCUUGACGAUGCUGAGGAGAAGCAGAUAACAAAUGCAGCUGUGCGGGAUUGGCUGGUCGCGUAUAAAGAUGCUGUCUAUGAAGCCGACGACUUCUUGGAUGAGAUUGCUUAUGAAGAUCUACGGCAGGAGUUGGAAGCUGAAGCUCAAAUCUUCAUUAUCCCACGUGAAAUAAUGGGGUUGAGAGAGAUUAGAAGAAAAAUCAAGAGCCUCCAUGAGAGACUAGAUGACUUAGUAAACAAAAGGAUGCCCUUGGUUUGAAUCAACCGCACUGGAAAAGAACCAUCAUCGCAAGACAAAACUUCUCUCGUGAUGAAUCUGGUGUUUAUGGUAGAGAUGAUGACAGCAAAGCAAUACUGAAGUUGCUUCUAUCAGAUGAUGCAAAUGGACAAAACCCAGGUGUCGUUCCCAUAGUAGGAAUGGGCGGGGUUGGUAAAACCACGCUUGCGCAGCUUGUAUACAAUCACAGCAGAGUACAAGAGUGGUUCAACCUCGAAGCUUGGGUUUGUGUUUCAGAAGAUUUCAGUGUUUUGAAGUUAACCAAGGUUAUCCUUGAGGCGUUCGGUUCAAAGCCUGAUUCUGAUAGACUGGAUAAGCUCCAGCUUCAGUUGAAGAAGAGAUUGGAGGGAAAUGAAUUCUUGCUUGUUUUAGAUGACGUUUGGAAUGAAGAUUAUGAUGAAUGGGAUAGGUUUCUUACCCCCCUGAAGUUCGGAGCACAAGGGAGUAAGAUUCUUGUCACAACACGCAAUGAAAGUGUAGCAUCAGUCAUGAGAACUGUUCCAACUCAUCAUCUAAAAGAAUUGACGGAAGACAGCUGCUGGUCUGUGUUCGCCAAACAUGCAUUUCGUGGUGAAAAUCCCAAUGAUUAUGAAGAGUUGCUAGAGAUUGGCAAAGCUAUAGCAAGAAAGUGUAAAGGCCUUCCUCUAGCUGCAAAAACACUCGGAGGUCAACUACGCACCCAAAGAGAUGCCGAGGAGUGGGAGAAGUUAUUGGAAAGCAAUCUAUGGGAUUUACCCAAUGAAGGUAUCCUCCACAUCUGAAGCAAUGUUUUGCUUAUUGUGCCAUAUUUCCAAAAGACUAUUCAUUUAAAAAGGAUGAAUUGGUUCUCUUUUGGAUGGCAGAGGGCUUCUUAGACCCCUCUGCAGUAGAUGAUGAGAUGGAAAAAGCAGGUGCUAUGUGCUUUGAUGAUCUCUUGUCAAGGUCCUUUUUCCAGCAAUCAAGUGUCUCUCGCUCAUCAUUUGUGAUGCACGAUCUCAUGCAUGACUUGGCUACCCAUGUGUCCGGUCAAUUUUGCUUCAGCUCCAGGUUGGGGGAAAAUAAUUCUUCCAAGGCCACCAGAAGGACUCGACAUUUAUCACAUACGGGAGCCGGUUUUCGCAGCACAAAAUUGGAAAACAUCCGUGAAGCCCAACUUAUACGCACAUUCCAAAAUUGGCAUCAUUUUCCUGGUUGGUACUAUAAAGAGAUCUUUCAUAUAUUGCCAACACUUGGGCGCCUACGUGUGCUAUCCUUGUCUGUCCAUCCCGGUGCAGCUAAGAUGCUUUGUUCAAUUAGCAAGUUGAAGCAUUUGCGGUAUUUGGAUCUCUCGUCGUCAGAAUAUUUAGUAACGUUGCCUGAAGAAGUGAGUGCUCUUCUCAAUUUGCAAACGUUGAUCUUGAAAAAGUGCCAACAACUUGCUAGUCUACCUGAUCUUGGAAAUUUGAAGCAUUUACGACAUCUGAAUCUUGAAGGAGCAGGAAUCAAAAGGUUGCCUGCAUCUCUGGUAAGGUUAAUCAACUUGCGGUAUCUUAACAUCUCAUGGACGAAUUCUUUGAAAGAGAUGCCACCACAUAUAGGUCAACUUGCAAAGCUCCAAACGUUGACUUUAUUUCUCGUGGGAAGACAAAGUGAGAAUAGCAUUAAAGAAUUGGGAAAGCUACGACAUCUACGGGGAAAACUUCAUAUUGAGAACCUUGAAAAUGUGGUGGAUGCUCGGGAUGCUGCUGAGGCAAAUUUGAAAUGUAAAAAGCUUGAUCAUCUGAUCUUUAGCUGGAAUGGUAAGACUCAUGACCCGCAACACGUAACAAGCACACUUGAGAAAUUAGAGCCAAAUAGAAAGGUGAAGGAUCUUCAGAUUUACUGUUAUGGAGGUGUAAGGUUUCCGGAGUGGGUAGGAGACUCCUCUUUCUCAAAUAUAGUGUCCUUGAUGCUCUAUGGAUGUACAAACUGCACCUCCUUACCACCGCUCGGACAAUUAGCUUCUUUAGAGGAUCUCUCCAUUAAUGAAUUCCACAAAGUUGAGACUGUGGGCUCCGAGUUCUAUGGGAAUCGUACCGCUGUGAAGAAGCCAUUUGAAUCCCUCAAAAAAUUAUGUUUUGUAAGGAUGGCAGUGUGGCGCGAGUGGAUUUCAGACGAAGGCAGCCGGGAAGCCUUCCCUCUUCUUGAUGAGCUUACAAUCGUGGAAUGCCCCAACCUUGCAAAGGUCCUACCUAGUCACCACCUUCCAUGUGUAACAAGACUUGAAAUUAGAGCAUGUGAGCGGCUCGCGGCCCCAUUUCCCAGGUUUCAUAGGUUGCAAUCCCUCGAUGUUUCUGUAAACCGCGACUGGCCACCUUCUAAGCAAAUGGGCUGGGCUGCUCUCAAAUGCUUCGCCCUGGACUUGGUCCCCAACUUAAAUUCUCUUUCUAUCUCUUCCUGUCCAGAUCUGGAAUCACUAUGUGCACAUGAAAGACCUCUCAACGAUCUCACCUCUCUCCAUUCUUUGUCUAUCUGGGGGUGCCCUAAAUUAGUUUCAUUUCCCAAAGGAGGGUUACCUGCUCCAGUCUUGACACGACUUGUGUUAAAUCAUUGCAACAACCUGAAGCAGUUGCCUGAGAGUAUGCAUUCCCUCCUACCAUCCCUUAACCACUUGGAAAUAAGAGGUUGUUUAGAAGUUGAGUUGUGUCCAGAAGGGGGUUUUCCCUCCACAUUACAAUCACUUGUGAUUAGUAAUAGCAACAAACUCAUUGCAGGCCGCAUGCAAUGGGGCUUGCAAACGCUCCCUUCUCUUUCACGCUUUGUUAUUGGUGGCCAUGAAAAUAUUGAAUCCUUCCCUGAAGAGAUGCUUCUGCCCUCAAGUCUUACAUCUCUCAGCAUCAUUGGCCUAAAACACCUGAAAUCUCUUGACUACAAGGGGCUUCAACACCUCACCUCUCUUACAUCAUUGAGAAUAAUUAUCUGCCCUCUGAUUGAGUCAAUGCCAGAAGAAGGGUUGCCCUCCUCCCUUUUUAUUCUUGAUAUUUACUAUUGUCCAAUGCUGGGUGAAAGUUGUGAAAGGGAGAAAGGUAAAGAUUGGCCCAAGAUUUCUCACAUUCCUUACAUAGACAUCAGCACAGCAAAGAAGUAGCAGUUAAAAGGAGCUUUUCUUUCGAUCAAAGGCAACAUAUUUUUUUGAGGUAUUGCUACUAAAUAGUUUAUUUUCUUUUCUGUAAUCAAAGGCAAUUUCAGUUAAAAUUUGGAUGAAUGAAGUACAGAUAUUGUCCAUUUUGUAUUGUUUUUAUUUGUUGGAUGUUGAAAUACAGAUAAUUUCUUCCAUAAAUAAUAAUCAUCAUUCUGUUUCAAUAUAUCGAGCUGGAGGAUCAUCACAUGCUUCAGAUUUUGAACUGCCAGCACUAGUAAUUAUAAAUCCAUUGUUAAAAAGGAUUAAAAAAAUUAAAUUAUGUAAGUAAUUUGCAACGGAUUUUUCAUUAUUCACGUGCUUGGCAACAUCAAAUCUGCAACUGAUUCCAAAGAUAAAUCAAACCCUUAAUUAUAUAAAAUCCCCAUCCUUUCUCCUUUUCUCUUUUCCCGCAUCUUCAAAAAUUAAAAAAAAUAAAAUUCUCCAUCUCUUUCUCUAGUCUCUUCCCUUCUCCAAAAAUUCAAAAUUCAAAAACUUUUUUUAUCUUUUAUUUAUUAUUUAACUUUGAUUAGAUUGUUUUUAUUCCAUAUAAAGCAGAAGUUAAAAAAUGAUUUUGGAGUGCAUGUAAGUCAUAUCAUUUUUGGAGUGUACUUUGAUAAAAAAACAGACAUAAAGAGAGAAGAAAUAAAAUUCAUGACUCUUUAUCUUGCCCAAAAUAACAGCGAGGGCUCAUGGAUGCUGCACCAGGGUAAAGCUACAAAUGCCAACGCUGAUGAAGAGUUACAAGAAAUUGGUAGAGCAAUAGUGAGGAUUGUCUGAUGUUCAUCUAUAAUAGCAGCAGAUAAAUAAUUGUAGCUGAAGAAAAGAAUGGUGUGCGAGAGCAAUUUCAUAGAAAUGAAACUGCUUUUAUUGGACGUGAAACUUCUUGCCUCCAAUAUUUGUGUUUUGAUCUUCUAGCCUUUUGGUGUUCUAUGGCUUUGUUGCUGCCUUUUAGUCUUUUGGUGUUCCACGGUGCUGCUGCUUUUUGGCUCUUGAUUUAAUGGAAAUGCUGUCCUUGUAUCGUUUGGGUUUUGGCAUCGUUGGCUCCUGCCGUUGUCUGUUCUCCGGUCAUCGAAGCUGACAGCAAUCCUCCGACUCUGUUAUUGCAGUCAGAUGCUUCCUCAGUUUUAUCCUUUGGUCAUUUUCAAAAUCAGAUACUCCUGUAAAUAUUACAAAACAACUGUGACACUGCUUUUACUAUAUCUUAAUAGCUAUUUUUUCUUGGGAUAUUUAAUUUAAUUUACAAUAAAUUCUGGUUAAUUUACAAUAAGUUUAUAUAGCUUGAAAGUGAAGCUCAUCUUCUAUUUAGUUUUCUUAAAUAUAUAAUUUUAAAUUAAAUUACUUUUAAAAUAAUUUUGAGUAUAUCUUACAUGUUUAAACAUUAACUUUGUUGGAUGGAUGCAUUUUUUAUUGUAAAAAAAAAAACUUCAAAAAAAAAUUUUCUAACAAAAAAAAUGUUUUUUUAGAAAAAAUAUGAUUAAAAAACGUUUUAAAAACUCAUGGUCUAAAAUGGACAUUACUGAAAAGCUACUUUUUUCCAAGUAUUACAUAGGCAAGUAUGCGUAUAUGUUUAGGGUGAUAGGUAUGGGUCGAGUAGUAGCAAAAUAUUUUUUAAUGGUAAAACAUGAGAUAGGCUCAUUCACCUCUUUACCGGUCUUUAUUUCUUAAUAAAUUUUAUCCAAAUAUUUUUUUUAAAUGGAUAAAAUGGAUUAUAAUAUUUGUAAUGGAUAAUGACUGUUAAAAAAAAAAUUAAACUCAAAUUAUAAUUUUGCAAAUUUUAGUAUUUAAAAUAAAAUAAUUCAUAAGUGGUGAUUAAAGAGGUUACUAUCUUGGGUAACAUUCAAAUUCCAUCUAUGGGUGUUCUCUGAAAACUUGGCAAAUCCUCGCAAUCGUUGUUCUCUGAAAUCUGUAAAGAACGUUGUAGGAGUUCUAAAUCCUAGCACCCACCCAGCAUUGUUUUGAAGAAGUAUACCUUCUUUACUUGUUCUUUACCCUUUUUUAUGUUUGUAAUUCUUAUAUACAAGCAUUUGCUUUGAUUUUUUUGUCAGGAAAGUAUUAUGUAAACUAGAUUCAUUAUUUCUAAUUUGUAAGAGAAUAUAUGAUCAUAUUUAAAUACAUUAACAAAUUAAUUUCCUCAUUUCUCUUAAUUUUUAAGAAAAUCUUUCUUCUAUUAUAAUUAUAGUUAUUGUUUUUUUAAAUCUAAAAUCAAUGUCAUGGUUAAAUAGAAUGGUAUGUUAUCCUUAUUUUUAUUAAAUUAAAUUAAAAUAAAAAACUAAAUUUCUUAAACAAAUUACUGUUUACUAUGACCAUGAUAAAGUUGUUCUUUAACCGCUAAACCUUUUAACCCUUUAUGAUUUUUUAAUUUACAAAUUGUUUUCAAAUUAAGGAAAUUCUUAAGAAAAUCUAUCAUAUUAUAUAUAUUUUUUAAUAUCACCCCUUUAAUUUUUUAAUCGUUUAAAUUUAAUCUUUAUUAUUUUUCAUUGCUUUUUGUUUUUACAAUUUUAUUUUCCUUGGGUUUUUUUUCUAUGAAAUGGUAUCCUUAUUUUUUUUGUUGCUAUAUCUUUUAUUUUUGCAAGUUUUUUUAUUGAACCCGGGUCUAGAAUUACACGAGUUGCCAGUUUUAGAGUUUGACCAAGUUUAGUAGGUUUAUCCGACUUUACUUGGUUUUUUUUUUCUUUCUUGAGCUGAUUUUUUUUAUUUUUUUAUAGUUUUGCUUUGUUAUUUUUAACAGCUUAUCUUUUAUAAAGUUAGCCCUGAGUUUAUGACUAGAAUCAUCGGUUUCAAUGGGUUAACAUGAGAUGAUUUUAAAUUUUUUUAAUUAAUUUAUUUCAAUUUCAUCAUUCUUUUUUUUUUAUAUUUUUUUUUUCUAUGAGACUAUCUCAAUCUUAUAUUCAUGGUUGCGAAGUUGAUGAGUUUACCUGGUUUAAUAGAGUUUUUUAUAGUUUCACCUUUUGUUAGAUAAUUCGGAGGGCUCAAUUCUGUUUUUUUUUUAGUUUUUUUGUCAUUGUUAUUUUUUUAAUUAAUUUAUUGUAGUUGUAUUUUUUAUAUAUAUUUUGAACCAAUUAGUUGUAUCUCAGUUUUUUUUUAAUGUAAUAUUAUUUUUUUAAGUUAAAAAAAUACUUCCUCUCGCAGUGGAGCACGGACACAUGUUCCAGGGUACAUUUUAUAAGAUAUGAUCCGAGGAUACGAUGUAGAUUUUGUUAAGGAGGUUGUGUAUUAAUUUGUUAAUAUGCAUACUGCCUACUUGUGGAACUGAGUUGCAUAGCUGAGUGGUACUUGCAGGUUCAAAUGGUUUGAAGAUUCUGAAACAUUAUUAAUUUGUGCUCAAACUCUUUGCAUUUCAGCAUCCUCUACUGGUUGGUGCAGGCCUUAACUAAACGAAAAGGUGAUUUUAUUGUAUCUCUUUUUAUAAAAUAUUAUUUUUUUAAACAGUUAUAUCCUUUAAAAUUAUAUUUAUUAAGAAUUGAAUUUUAUAACUUUUAUAAUUUAUUUAUUUACUUUAUCAAACUUCUGCUGCAUGAUCACAUGAUUCACAUCACGUGAAAAGCUUGGCAUUUAGUGAUGUUUUUCCAAUCAAACCCCCUUUUUUCAAAGAUGGAAUCUCGAGGUAAAUAAAUCAAAGACAAAACCGAGUAAAAUGGAGUCCUGAGCAUAACAAGGGCCGAGAGAGAAAAGGCUUUUGCGAGUUCUGUGUUUUGUAUACUUCUCAAGGGGAAAAAAUAAUGUUUUGUUAGAGAAUUGUUUUUGAUAGAAUUGUUAGAGAUCUUAGCCGAUGCAUCUGGAUUAUAAUUUUUUAGCAUUUAUACUAUUUUAUAGCGCUAAUAUCUUAAAAAACUUAUUUUCUAGCUUUUUUUUCAUGGUAUAAUGAAAUAUUAAAAAAUAUUCUUCAACUCAUUAUCCUUAUUACAAUUAAAUUUCAUAGAAUAGUCUAUUUGUUUAGAAAUAUAGUUUACUGUAUGAUUUAUUUGAUACAAAAAAUUCACUAGAAACUAAAAAAAGAAGAAGCUAAUCAUCAUUUAAAAAUAUAGAAUAUUGGAAUCAUCUUGCUCAAUAGGUGAGUUUGGGAGUUUGGUUGCUUAACAGGUGAGUGAAGGUUAAAUGUACCCAAUUAAAUCAUAUCUACAUUCAAUUAAAACUUAUGGUAUAAUUACUUGAUAGCAAAAUAAAGAAAAGUAGGAACCUGUAACAUCUAAGAAAUUUCUAUGCUCUUAAAAUUAAGCGUCCAAACUAAGGCUAUAAUGAGUCUUGAAUCUACACAGAAGAAAUUUCAUGGGAAAUGUAAUUUCAAAGACCAUGACUCAAAUCAGCGGCUAAAAUCCAAUCACUCAAGGGAUGGUGACAUGUUGCCUUGAGUGGGAGACAGCUGGUCUCUAGUACGAAGAGAAACAACAAUAUAAUUUUUUUUUUAUUAAAAGUGAGUGUAUGAGCUUCCAUGUAUUUUAAUUUAUUUUAUUAAUUUUAAAAUUAAUAAUUAUAUAAAUUUUUAGUAAUUCUAAAAAGAUUUGAAUUCAUAAUUAUUAAAAUAUAAAUAUAAAACCUAAUCAAUUAGUACCCCCACAGCAGUGUUUUCAUUGUUUAAAAUGGAGUGUUUGUUUUUCUUAGAGCUCGUUUGGGUACGCGUUUGCGUUCGCGUUUCUUCGAAAACGCAUGACAAUGCUGUUUGGUUACAGAUCGUUGAACAAUUAAAAUACAUGGGCCCCACCAUUUACCUGCGGCUGGAACACAAUUUUUUAAAAGCAGCAAGAUACUGCUUUUUUACGAGUUUCAACAAUAUUCACCAGCGAAUUGCACUGUUCACGUGACUUUCUUUCUUCUUCUUUUUUUAACAGUUUUUUUUUAUAAUUUUUUUUUUAAAAAAAAGUAGUUUAGAGUGAAUUAAAUUUACUUACAUUGUGAUGUGAGCAAUAUUUUUUUUCCCUGAAAAACUAGUAUAAAAUGAAUUAAAUUCACUCAAUUUUAUACCUGAUAAUGUUUUAUCUAAUUUUAUUACACGCUCACAAAAUUAUAAAAACUGUAGUUCUUAUUGGCUGAAUUUUAUACAUAUUGGAAUUAUAAAUAAUUUAAUGGAAUAAUAAAAAAUAUUUUAUAUAAAGUAUUAUUUAUUUCAUAAUGUAAUAGGAGUAGUUAAUUCUACAAUAUUUAAAUUUAAAACCAUCAAUAUUAAUAUAUAUUUUUUAAAAUUAUUUUAUAACCUCAAUUUCAAAAGCAUUAUUAACUAAACACAUUAAACUACUUUUUCUUCAACCUCAAUUUCAACCACAAUUUUAACCAAACAUCUAUUUUUUUAAACCAACCUCAACUAAAAGUACUUUUUAUAAAACAACUUUUUUCAAACCACAACCACAACAGCUACCGCAAUACCAAACAGACUCUUAGUGUUUUUGUUCUUGUCAUAGCUCAUGAUGGCGGGGGCUUAAAAAACAUUUAAAGAAAUUAUUUUUUCUUGUGAUUUAUUUGAUUUAAAUAAGUAUUUAAUUAAAAUUAUAAUUAAAAAUGUUGUUUAAUAAAAAAUAUUUUAAAAUAUUUAAUUAAAAUUAUAAUUAAAGAUAUAUUGUAACUAGAAUUACUAUAAAAAAAGAUCCUAGUGAAGGUGGAGAGGAUGAGAAUAAUGAUUGGAUAUCUUAAUAAUUGUAAAAAGAAAGUAUCUUUUUAUGGUGAAGUUAUCGGUAGAUGAGAAAAUACUGAGUUUUGUAGCUCAGAAAAAAACGUCAUUCAACUAAUAAAAUGAUCCAUCUACAUAAUAAUAAUAAAAAAAACCCGCCAUUCCCACGUGUGGAAGAUAAAAUUAAUCAACCUAAUCUUAUUGGAUUACAUUUUAUUAUUUAUAUCAAACAAUCAGUAUCCUUAAUACUGAUUAAGGAUAUUUUUGUUUUUGCACAACUAUACAUUUUAAUAUAAUAAUUUUUUUAAUCUAAUUUUUUAUUAUUAUUAUUUUAGUAUCAUUUUGUUAUUUCUAACAGUUUGCGUUUACAAGGUUAGUCUUGAAUUAUGACUAGAAUCAUCAAUUCUAAAUAGGAAUGUAAGUUGAUUUUUAUUAUUUUUUAAAAUUAAUUUAUUUAAAUUUUAUCAUUAAAUUUUUUUUUUCAUGAUUUCUUUUUAAGAGACUAACCCUUUAUCGACAAACACUAAUGUACUCUGAAAAACAUAAUCCUAUUGCAUCUUACGCUUUAAAUUCCAACAAGGAGUAGGAACCCUGCAUCUGGGAAAUUUUUACUAGGCCUCCAAUCUGAGGCUGUAAAGAGCUGAUGGGUUGAUGUCAGAGGUAGACAAGGAACCGUACUUUCAGAAGACCAUGACACAAAUCAACGGCUGGAAUCCAAUCACUCAAGGGAUGGUGUCAUGUUGCCACGAGUGAGAGACAGCUGGUCUCCAUCUGAAUGUUUAAAUAUGAUUGGGUAUCUUAGUAAUUGUAUAACAAUUGAUUUUUUUUUUUUAAAGUUGUCGGUGUGGAUGAAAAAUACUGAGUUUGUAGCUUAGUAAAAACAUGUUGAUGUUACUUUUUAUUAGCUCAUGGUUGGCCCAUAAAUUGUAAUAGGUCCCACAAUCACAAACCUACUAUUCACAUGUAAUUUAUGUCUUACAACUUGUUUUUUAAAUUAUUAUUUUUAUAUUUUUAUACCAUUUUUAUUUUAAAAAAUUUAAGUUUAAAAAAUAUUAUUUUAAUAUAUUUUUAAAUAAAAAAUAUUUUAAAAAACAAUAAUAUCUGAAUGUUUUAUAAAUUUUUACAAUCACUUUUACAUUUUUUUUAGAUCACAUUUGAGAAUGCAGUACACCACAAUAAAGUUUCGUUGUUGCUACAUGAUUAAAGGUAAGUAAUUGUCUUGCAUUUACCUUUAAAACUGCUAUCAAGAAUUAAUUAAUUGCGUCAAUUCAAUUAUUUCUAUUGACAUUGAUACCAAACAUGUUAAUUCAUGAUAUAAUUAAGCAAUUCAAUACAAAUUUACUAAUAUAAUUUAUUCCGGCGUAAAGCUUUGAAUAUAGCCAAAUGCAGAGGUUAUGCAAGUGAAAUACCUUAAUAAUUAAAUUAAAAAAAGAAAACAAAAUAUAAUGUAUAAAAUAUAAUAAUAUAAUUUAUAAUUUAUUUAUUUGCUUUAUCAGUGAAAAUUGAAAAGAGAUGGAAGGAGGGAGAGAGAAGAAAUAAAUUGAAGUCUUCUGCUGCCUGAAGAGCUUGGCUAGUGAUGUUUUUCGAUCAAACCCACUUUUUUCAAAGAUGGAAUUUCUCGGAAAAUGUGUGAUCCAGAGAAAAGCCUUUUGCGAGUUAUUAUGUUGCUGACACUGGAUAGAGACACUUCAACUAUCUUUUCAUUAUUUUGAGCGCAGUUGCCACCCACCUUUCUGUGGCUUCAUGCUCCUUCUCCAAACCAUUCAUAUAUAGUGCAGCCUGAGCUUUACUGGUUACGUUUCCUUUGAGGAUAAUUAUUGUUAAAUUAUUUUUUGUUUUAAAAUAUAUUAAAAUAAUAUUAUAUUUUUUAUAAUUUUAAUAUAAACACAUUAAAAUUAUUAAAAAAAUCAAUAAUUUAAUAUAUUUUUAAAUAAAAUAUAUUUUAAAAAAACAUACAUUACGAACUAUUCUCUCAAACACACAAUUUUAUUCCAUCUUAAAACUUGAGAUAUUAGAAUAGUCAAGUUCCCUCGUUAAAUUUACAAUUGUGGUAGUGGGAGUUGUAUAACUCAUUAAAAAAUAAAUUUUAUAUUAAAAUAAAAAUUUUAAAAAUAUAUUGAUUAAAAAUGUGAGGUGUUAUUCUGCAUUAUUAGCACAUCACGUGAAAAGAUAGAUUGGCAUAUAAUAAAAGCAAUCCCAAUCAAACCCAUUUUUUCGACGAUGGGAUCUCUUGGCAAAUAAAGCGAGGACAAACCGAGUAAAACAUGGGACCCAACUCCAUUUUCCUGGCACACGCAACUCACGCAUACACACACUCAUUUGAGAUAUUUUUUUUACUAUGGAGUUCAGGCAAAUAAAGUGAUGGAAGAAGGUCUUCUUCUGCGUGAAAAGCUUGGCAUUAAUGAAGUUUUUCCAUUCAAACCCACGCAUACACCCUGUAAUAUCUAGGAAAUUUCUCUGCUAUUUAAAUUAGGCGUACAAGCUGAGGCUGUAAUGAGCCCUUAAUCAACAUAGAAAAAAUUUCAUGAAAAUGGAUUAAUGUCAAAAAUAUAUUUCAAAAAAUCAUGACUCAAAUUAGUGAUUGAAAUCCAAUCACUUAAAAGAUGGUGACACGUUGUCAUGAGUGAGAGAUAACUGGUCACCAGUACAAAAAAAAACAGUAACGUUUUCAUUAUUUAAAAUGGAGUAUUUGUUUUGCUAAGUGUCUUUGUUAUCAUGAUAGCUCUUGUGGUGAUGGAUGUUUAAACAUGAUUGGACAUCUUAGUAAUUGUAAAAACAAUUUUUUUUUUUUUGGAUGAAGUUGUCGGUGGAUGAGAAAAUACUGAGUCUGUAGCUUAGUAAAAACAUGUUGAUGUUACUUUUUAUUAACUCAGGGUUGGCCCGUAAAUUAUAAUGGGUCCCACAAUCACAAACCUCUGAUUCACUUGUAAUUUAUGUUUUAUAACUUUUUUAUUUUAAAUUAUUAUUUUUUAUAUUUUUAUACCAUUUUUAUAUGAAAAAUAUUUUUUAAAAAAUAAAAAAUAUUAUUUUAAUAUAUCUUUAAAUAAAAAAUACUUUAAAAAACAAUAAUAUCAAACACCUAAAUGUUUUAUAAAUUCUCUACAUUCACUUUUACAUUUCUUUAGAUCACAUGAGAAUGCGGGACACCACAAUGAAGUCCGUGGUUGCUACAUGAUUAAAGGUAAAUGUCUUUUAAAACUGCUAUCAAGAAUUAAUUAAUUGCGUAAAUUCAAUUCUUUCUAUUGACAUUGAUGCCAAACAUGUUAAUUCAUGAUAUAAUUAAGCAAUUCAAUACAAAUUUACUAAUAUAAUUUAUUUCGGCUUAAACCUUUGAAUAAAGCAAAAUGCAGAGGUUGUGAAAGUGAAAUACCUCAAUAAUUUCUAUGCUUUACAACCCUAGGAGCCACACAAAAUAUAAUGCGUUUGUUACUAUUAAUUUAUUUAAAAAAUAAAUUAAAAUAUUUUUUAAUAUUUGAUUAUGUUAUAGAAAACGAGUCAAAAAAUAAUUUUUUAAUUUUUUUCUCAAGUUUAUUAAAAAAAUAAGAAACAAAUCUUACAAAUAAAAAUAUUGAAGGAGAAUGAAAUUGAAAAAUAUAUAUUUACAUAAAUUAUUUUAAAUAAAAUAAAUAACAAUCAUAAGAAUGAGAGCCAAAUAUGACAUAUAAAAAUAUUUAAUAAAAAAUAAAACAAUAAUAAAUAAAUAAAAUUAAUAUAAAAAUAAUACUAAACCAAGAAUUAAAUUAAAAAAAGAAAACAAAAUAUAAUGUAUAGUUUAUAAUUUAUUUAUUUGCUUUAUCAAUGAAAAGUGAUGGCAGGAGGGGAGAGAGAGGAAAUAAAGUCUGCUGCCUGAUCACAUCACGUGAAGAGCUUGGCAUUUAGUGAUGUUUUCCGAUCAAACCCACUUUUUUCAAAGAUGGAAUUUAUUGGAAAAUAAAUGAAAGACAAACCGAGUAAAAUGGAGUCCAGAGCAUACAAGAGCCGAGAUUGAAACAGGAAAUGCAAGAAAAAGAAGAUGGGCCCUUGUUUUCUCUUUUUACGGCCGGCGACCGGAUAUAAAAAGGAAGGAGAUGAAGCUUUCAAAUUAUUUAUAAUUUUGCGGUCACUUAUUGUGUCCAUGUCAUUUUGUGUAAUUGCCCAGCUACAAUUUAUAAAUGAUGUAAACUCUUAAUUUUUAAUCGAUGUAAAAUGUUGGAGUAUCAUGUUGCUGAAAAAAUCUUUUUAAGUGUAUAAUAUGUUGCAUUUGGGGCAAAAUUAAUAGUUUUGAAUGUUUUUAUUACCGAAACCUUUUUUUUUUCUCAACCUCUUUCUCUCUCUCUUCUUGUCAAAUACAAAAGUUUUUUUUUUUCAUUUUUUUAAAUGAUUUAAUUUUAAUUUUAUUUUAUUUUAUUUUUAUCUUUUGUAGAUUUGUAUUUUAUCGUUUGAUUUUAUUUAAUUGUUUUUAUUAAACAUGACCUUUAUUUACUUUAUUUAUUAUUUUUUUAAUUAAACGUUCUCUUAACAUUUAUUUUCAAUAUCAGAUUUAAUUAAUCAUAUUAAUCCUAUUUUAUCUUACACUUUAAAUUCCAACAAGUACCCGAUCCAACAAUAUCUGCAUUCACACUUGAGGGUCUAACUUAUUGGUCAACUGCAAGACUUGUCUUUGCGAACGUCUUGGGUUCGAUCCUCUUUGUGUACCCUGUCACCCCGCGGUGUCUUACCUGUUCACCGGGCUUGCAGGAUAUUCAGUGGACUCGAGGAUUAGUUGUGAUGCGCGCAAGCUGACCCGAACACCUCGGGUUAUAAAAAAAAAAAAAACAAUAUCUGCAUUCAAUUAAAACUUAUGGUACAGCGAAAAAAAAAAAAAAGAGUAGGAACCAACUAAGAAAUUUAUGUGCUGUUCCCAGCUAUGUUGCUGACACUGGACAGGAGAGACUUCUUCAACCACCGAUAAAAUUAUUUUUAUUAACUUUUUGUGCAAUUUGUUACUUUGUUUCGAUCUUUCUCUCUUUGCACCACAAACACUUGGACACGGUAGAAACCAAGCACGGUUUUUCUGUCAAUGUACGAUACCGUAUUUAACAAUAUCUUUUUAUUUUUAUUUUAUGAAGAGUAGUAUGUUGGUGAUCUAUGUAUGUUUUUUUUAAAAAUCACAUAUAUAUUUAUCUAAAAUUAUUGAUAUUUAAAAAAUUACAUUAUUUUUUUAAUGACUCCUUCCACUGUUCUUGUAGAAUUAAGCAAAUAUUAUGCAAAGCUUCAAGUUUUGUGUAAUUGUUUUUAAUACAAGAGAGUUUAACCAUUUUAAAAUGUUUAAUGAGUUCUUUAAAAUAUUGAAAGUAAUGUACAAAAACUAAUUUAUAAUUUUAUUACAGAUCGUGCUUUAUUAUAGGUCAAGUCAAGUUUUUCUUAAGAAUAAAAAAUUAUUUAAAUUAUGAAUGUUUUAAUUUAUUCUGGUAAAAAAAAUUUAAAUCAUGAUGUGAUCUAACUUGAUUGAAUUUGUAGUUCACAAAACAACCUAGAUAACAAAUAAAAAUAUAAUUUAACUUAUAAAUUUUUUCAAGAUUACAUAUAUUUUUUUAAUAUUAAGAUAAUAACAAAUUAAAUUGAUUUGGAUAAACUCAAUUUAACUUAUUAAAUUCAUAACCCGUGUUAUGAGACUAUGAUAAACCUGUAAAAAACAAAUUAUUAAGUUUAAUUCUCAACCACCAAAUAUUAAAAGAUAAAAUUAAAAUAAAUAAAUAAACCAUGUGGAGAUUAACUCAAUAUGACUUAAUUGAUUUAGCUUGUUCAAAAACAACCAAGAUAAUCACUAGAAAUAUAAUCUGACUUGGAAAAAAUUUCAAGAUGAUAUUUUUUUUUAAUAUAAAGAUAACAAAGUAAUAGAUCGAAUUGGGUUAAGCAGAGUUAGCUUGUUAAAUUUUUUAUUUGGGUAUGAGACUAUGAAAUCUAAUUCCUAAGCAACCAAAUAUUGAAUGGUAUAAUUAAAAAAAUAAUCAAUUAAAAAAAUGAUUUAAAAAUAUGAACGGAGUUAACAUGUCAAGUCCAUAACCUAUCUUAUAAUAAAGAUAUAAUCUUAUAAAAAAAAUCAAAAUAAAUUAUGAAAUUCAAUCUUAAACAGCUAAAUUUUAAAAGAUAAAAUUUUAAAAAAAUAAUUUUAAAAAGAACAUAAAAAUGACCUAAGUAAAUCCCCCAAACCCAUAGCUUAUUAAGAGAUCGUGAUAAUCUUGUAAAAAAAAAAUUACAUGAUUUAACUCGUUAAAUUUAUGACUUUGGUUACAAUACCGAGACAACCUCUUAAAGAGUAAAUAAAAAUAAAUUGAAAAGUGCAAUCCCUAAUUGACCAUGUCAAACCCGAUGUGAACGAUGCAAUUUUUAAAAUUUUGAAUUAAAAAAUAACAUAAAAAAUAAUUUAGGUUAACCCAUUAAGCAUCAUUCUUAGAUUACGAGACCAGGAUAACAUAAUAAAAAUAAAAUCAAAACAAACCACAAAGUCUAAUUCCUAAUAAAACAUUAUUAAAUAAUAAAAUUGAAAAAAAAAAAGUUAAUUAAAAGAAAUUUGAGUCAAUUAGGCUAACUUGCUAAGCCUGCAAGUUAGGUUAUGAAACAUAAAUAACUCAAUAAAAAACAAAUUUACUAUUGAAGGACUAGUGACGCAGGUCAUGAAAUAAAGAUAACCUUUUACAAACAAAAUUAAAAAACAACUCAAUUUAAUUUGGAUUAAAAUGUCAAAACCUUCGUCUCUAAUCAUGAGACUAGGAUAACCAUGUAGAAAAUAAUUUGAAAUAGAUUAUGAAGUUUCAUUCUCAACUGACCUGAUAUCGAAUGAUAAAGUUGGAAAAAAAUUCAAUUAAAAAAAUAUAAAAUACAACCUGAGUCAACUGAGGUUAACCUGUUAAGUAUUAUUUCCGGGUUACGAGGUUAGAAUAAUCUAAUAUAAAUUAAACAAAACAAAACAUGAAACUUAAUUUUUAAUUAAAAGAUAAAAUUGUAAAAAAAAGUUAAUAAAAAAAAAUCAAGUUAACUUUUUGUUAUAAAAGUGAGACAACUUAAUAAAAAAAAUUAAUAUUAAAAUAAAAAAAAUCAUUAAAAAAUACUCAUUCAAAUAAUUGUAUAAAACAUAAUAAUAUAAACUAUAAUUUAUGAUUUAUUUAUUUAUUUUAGUAUUUAGUGAAGUCUUUUCAAUCAAACCCUUUUUUAAAAAGAUAUAAUUUCUAGGAAAAUAAAUUAAAGACAAACCGUGUAAAAUUCUAAAAGAAAAUAAAGAUGGGAUAUUGUUUCAGUUGCGGCUUGGAUACGUGUUUCAAAAAUAUUUUUAAAAAAAAUAUAUUUUUUUAAUUUUAAAUUAAUAAAUUUUUAGUUUUUUUAGAUCUUUUAAUAUAUUAAUAUUAAAAAUAAUUUAUAAAAAAUAAAAAUAUUUUAUUUUAAUAUAUUUUUAAAUAAAAAACAAUAAGAGACAACCGUGACCACUUAAAUGAAGCAUACCAAGUUGAGAGUUGAGGAGCCGAGAGAGAAAAAGCUUUUGCCAGUUCUUUACGCAAAUUCUUUCCCCUUCUGUCACCUGAACAAAAUCCCCUCUUCUUCUUCUUCUUCUUCUUCUUGUUUGUUUACUCUUCCUUCGUUACUUUGCAAAGAGGAGAAACCAUGGCCGGGGCUUUAGUAGGAGGAGCUUUUCUUUCUUCUUUCCUUAAUGUUUUGUUCGACAGGAUGGCCUCUCCCCAGGUGGUGGCCUUCUUCAGAGGGAAAAAAGUCAACGAUAGUAAUCUGCUGCAGAAGUUGAAGACAACAAUGACAUCUCUCAGGGUGGUGCUUGACGAUGCUGAGGAGAAGCAGAUAACAAGUUCAGCUGUGCGGGAUUGGCUGGCCGAGCUUAAAGACGCUGUCUAUAAAGCCGACGACUUCUUGGAUGAGAUUGCUUAUGAAGCUCUACGGCAGGAGUUGGAAGCUGAAGAUCAAACCUUCACAAGUCAGACGCAGAAGCUUCUUUCUUUCAUUAACCCACUUGAAAUAUUGGGGUCGAGAGAGAUCGAAGAAAAAUUAAAAGUCCUCUUGCAGGAUCUAGAUCCCUUAGUUGAACGAAUGGCAGCCCUUGGUUUGAACAACCGCAAUGUAGAAAAUCCACCAUCGCAUAGAACACCAACAACUUCUCUCGUGGAUGAAUCUGGUGUUUAUGGUAGAGAUGAUGACAGGGAAGCAAUACUGAAGUUGCUUCUAUCAGAGGAUGCAAAUGGAGAAAACCCUGGUGUCGUCCCCAUUAGGGGAAUGGGCGGGGUUGGUAAAACCACGCUUGCUCAGCUUGCUUCCAUUCUCUCCUUUUCUCCUUAUCCGCAUCUUCAAAAAUUCAAAAUCUUUUCCCCACCUCUUUCUCUAAUCUAUUCCCCUUCUCCAAAAAUUCAAAAUCCAAAAACUUUUGAUUUAUUUAUUUUAUUAUCACUUAACUUUGAUUAAAAAACUUUUCUUGAAGUUUACUUCCAUCAAAGAUCUUUUAUAGAUAUAAAAAGAAGAGAUAAUAUAAAAUUCAUCCGCGUAUUGGAAUCACAAUUCAGAAUCAAGUUAAAGCGGCCAAUGUCACUCGAGAGAGUAGGCACUUGCAAAUCUGCUAAUAAUUAUUGGAGCAUCACCCUUCCGCACAAUCAACAGAAAGUCAUCAUCUUGAGAACCCACAGCAAAGAGUUCAUUUUUUUGCAGUAGAUACGUAGCUAUAUUAACAACGAUACUUCCAGCAUGCACAAAUGGGACUUCUUGAUGGUUACGCUGCUAAAGACAUUUACAAAUCCCCAUCAAUACUGGUGUUUAUUCCUCAUGAUGAUCCAGUGAGCUGACAAUAAAAGAAAACCUCGGCAUUACUAGUAAAUCGUCACUGCAAGCAUGGAAGAGAUUCAGGUAGGAAUUACCCUUGUCUUCAUUGAGAGGCUUUAACCUCCCUUGUCAGCAGGCCCAUGGUUCGAUGCAUCCUCUGAAGCGUCUAAGCAAGGAUUGCUUUUACACUGACUUACAGGCUGAGAAAGUUGGGACCCCUUUUGCGAAAAGUUUGGUUUACCUUUCGGAGUCUCAGACAGGCUUCCCGUUGACAGCUUUGCUAGGCCCAUUGUCUUGUGCUCACGCGGGAGCUUUGUUGAAAAAGGUGAUUCAGGUGUAUCAGGAUGCUUCCCAGGAAUAUCCAUCGGUCUAUGAAACAGCAAAUGAGCCACAGUCCGGUCUACCGGAUUGGUCUCUGUUUCCACCUCAGGCAUCUUAACCACCCUGCAGUAUACUCAUAAAAUCCAUGAGGAAAAUGACAGGAAACUUUGAGAUUGCCAUACUCUAAACAAAUUGAUAAAGACUUGAUUAAUAAUUUUGUGCAAACAAAUUGAAUGAUUUGAAAUGGGAAGGACGAGAUGUAAAGGAACAAACCCAUUGGAACAAGAAACAAUCACAUUGUCGCUUACAACAAAAAAUCGAGUUUCAGAUCAAAACAGCUUAUGGUUUUGGCUGGAAGUGUCCCAUUUAGACAUUGAUGAGCCGAUUAGAAGAUGAUUUGAGUUCUUAAAUUUCUUGCUUAAAAUGUAAUGUAUCAUGAUUCUGCAGAUGAUCAUUAAAUUAGAAGGGAAAUUUAAUUUUGCCCUGUUUAUCUAAAGUUGUGCAAGUUCUCUGCAUUGAUGAUUCCAGUGAAUUUGUACAGAUCUUGUUUUCCUUCUAUUUGUCCUUGAAUAAACUUAUUGCACUUGUUGAACAAUCUUUGUUUCUCUCUCUUAGUUAAAUCUAGUAAAAUUUAUCAUGUAUGUUGUGCCACUCAUUUAGACUUGGAUGUGCGUGUUUAGCUCUUCUUUUCGGAUUAAGGUGAUUAUGCACAAAUUCACUGGAAUCAACAUUGCAGAAAACUUGCAUAGAUUUUGUUAAUAUUGGAAAAAUUAAAUUCGUUUUCUAAUUAAAUGAAAAUCUCUCCUAAAUAUUAUGCUAUUUGAAUUGUCACCUCAUGACUACUUGCUGCACUGCACUCAUGAAUGCUGCACCAGGGUAAAGCUACAAAUGUCAGUUUAAUAUCUGCCUCUACCUAGGUUGGCCUACAUACAAUACCAAAGCUUCUCUCAACUAAAUCAAGACAUGAUGACCAGCACUCACAAUCAUAACAGAACCAGUGGAAGCGAACUACUACAUAUUUGAUCAACAAGGUCAAAUUCAGUCAAGUUUUUAAGGAAAUCCAGUGAAAGAGGAACCUAAAAUUUUCUGUUUAGAUUUUCUUCUACUUCUAAGAACAAGCGCUGCCUUAAUUGAAUUGUUUCAGUCACUAUUCCUCCAUUGUAAAUAGAGGAUACCGUUUUCAAUAUUUAUUUCCAGAGUGAGAAUGGAAAACAGAAAAUGGUGAUGGCAUUAAAAGAUCCUAAUUUAACAUUUCCAUAGAGCAAAAAUGUUUUUUAAAAAAGAGAGAGGAUAGAUUAAAUUUGAAAACAGAAGCAUGAGAAAUGCAUUACCUUAACCAACCUUCUUUGACUACUAUUGUUUGUACUGCCAGUAUCACUAGCAUAAUGCCUUUGCAUUGCACUUUGAGCCAGCCGGAACAAGCUAUCCCGAAUACAAAGUCUAAUUCUGACAUCCAACUGUUGUAAAACAUUGGUUUGGAAUCGUAACCAAGCACAAAUUAUUUAGCAGGGAAAGAAUGCAAUAGUAGGUGAAGCAUACCUUUGAAAUAAUAUCUUGAAGCCUGUAGAGUACUGUGUCCUCCAUUGAAUAAUCAUUAACCGCCAGAGAGACUGUAUUGGAAUCGUCUUGCUCAAUAGGUGAGUUUGGGUCAAAUGAAGCAAGUGUACUUAGAUCCUCUACUUCAAGGUCAGCUCCUUCAACAUGCUGAAUUUGAUUUUCUUGGGAACACUUUUGAUGAACAAGCUGCUGCUGCUGUUUCUGAAUGGCAAGCAUUGCCUGAAUUUGUUGCCGCCUCCUUAAUUUUUCAAUCUUUUCCUGAGGUGUCAUUCUCUGGGGUUUCACUGGACAGUCAGCUAACUUGUUUAUAGGAUUUGCAUUGCCUGAAACUUCAUAACCAGAAAUUUUAGGUCGAUGAUUAAAUGACUAGAAAUUUUGUUGGAAAGUCAGAAAACUUUAACAGGAUUCGCAUUACCUGAAGAAACUUCAUAACCAGAAGCUAAAGGUUGAUGCUUAAAAUCCCCAGACUGAAUGUGGGACAACCCAGGCAUAGAAUAUGGAUUUGUAAUACUCCCGUAGGCAGAAGGGGCCACAAAUGGAUUGGAUAUCUGCUGGUACUGCAACUGCUCGGAACCCUGUAGCUGCUUCUGUUGGCUGAGAAUUGAAGGGGGAGAAGAUUGCAUAAUUUGGGGUUCUAAAUGAUCCUUAAGUUGACAGGCUGGGAUUCCAGAUGAAGUCCAGUUUCCAUAAAAAUCUUGGUAUGAUUUCAGUUCACCUUUUUCUUCCAGUUUUUCCCGACCUUUCAAGAUCUUCUUUUGCCUGUAAGUCUGAUCACAGAACUAUAAACAUAUAAAUAGACAAAUUACUUAGAAUAGAUCAACGUUUUAACCAUCUAGACCUGCAGGGGAGAGUGACUAAGGCACAGUUAGUAUUUUAACUCAGUACAUGGUUUGUAAGGAUAAAUUCAAUGUUAUUUUUUUUUUUUAAUUGUAACUUACGAUCCAAAGGGCUUCUAUUGUUCAGAAUAUAUUGAGGUAUUAGCUAAACUAUGCCAAGCAAACAGAAUUUGCAUGUCCCUGGGAAGAGUGGGUGUCAUACUAGAAAUAUAAAUUACUGAUGCCUCCUGAAUUUUGACAUGCUAUUCCUUUCUCCUUCCUACUAACAGAAAACCAGACAAUGGCUUUACUUUAGGCAAUCGAUAUCAUGGUUAAGUCAUGGAUUUGACAUCAAGGAUAACUUAAUUGAUGCAUUAUUGAAGUGAUGACUAAAUCAUGUAAAUCCAUAUUCACCCAACAUCCAAGUUUAAUCUCAUUCCAAAAAAUAAAACUAAUAGCAUGAAUUAUGAAGAGACGAAGAGGAAUUUAAAUAAUAUAAUUUCUCUUUUCUGUCGCCAUUUUCCAUUCCAGAGAAGUACUCAGGAAGUCUUAAUAAGUUCAAGUGUAAGGUAACUUUUACCCUUCCCAGCUCUAAUUAGGUUUCGCUGUCCCUCCAAUCUAAUUUAAGAUCUAAUAUGAGGAAACCACACUGUAUUAGUGAAAGGAUCACAAUAUCAAGAUUUUCCAACUUCAAUUCACUGAUAUAACUUUUCUUGAAUCCUGGACAAAAGAACUUAGAACAUCAAAAGAUCAUAGCAGGAUUCUAAAAAACAAAGAUUGUAUUUGGUGCCUAUUGAGUCUAAAAGUUAUCUUGGAUGAAAAGGGUAAAAAUCAGUAAUAUGUCUGGUUCAGUAUCAAGAUUUUGAAAAUAUCAAAAGGAAGAAAAAAAAAGGUACCUUGUUUGCUAAUUCAUUUGGAAAAGCACCAUUUUCCUCUGUCAGUUGAGAGUUAGCCGCCGUGUUCUUUCCCACAACAGCCAAAUCUGUCUGCAAAAGCACAAAAAAAUAAAAUAAAAAAUGCUAAGCUUCUCUCAGCUCCUGCACUUGAGCAUGGGGCAUUAAUAAGUGAACUCAUUACUGAAAAUUGAGUCGCUAUACCUGCUCCUUCAGUAUAGGCUUGUUUUUACCUUCAUCAUAUUCUACAUGAUCAAGGCUUGCCUGAGUAUUCUGCAGACCAUGAGAUGCAGGGUCGUUCAUUUUUCCAUAGCCAAGGGCAAACAGCUGGUCCUCUUCUCUCGAAGCCACAGAUAUUGGAAAGGGCUUUACCGGGCUGUUAGUUGUACAUUUUGAAGAAGACCAUAGCUCAUCAGCAUUACCAAGAUUUACAUUGCCAAAUAUUGGGUCAUCAUUGCUGCAAAAUCACCACUUGUGAGGAUAUUGAGUCAGAUGGUUAUCACUGUUCUCCAACAGAAUCAAGAUAAAAUAUAAGAACAUUAGUGAAGAACAGAAAUGCAGGAAAGCCCUUCCACAAUUGAACAAGCUCACCAAUUCCUUACAAAUCCAGUGCUGCUAUAUUACAUUCUUUCUGCCAUUUAUACUUGUAAUUGAGGAUAUUGUGCUGCUAAAAACUCGCAUCCUUCAGGUUCUUUUCACAAUUAACAAAAUUAAGCCAGGAUCAAAAACCAUAAAUUUUCAAACAACUAGUCUUUUUUGUUAGUGUUGCUUUCAGCAGACAGCACUUGUUUGGAAAAGGAUAUAGAUCCAAAACAGAAGAAACUACAAUUAUUAAAAGAGUCUGGUUGUUUUUCCUUCACAACAACACUCUUGUAGUACAUGAUUUUUUUCUUCUGAAAUGAAAAUAGGCAGUGAGCAUAAUUAUUUUGUCCGCGAAACUUUCACUUCACAGUCAGUAAUAAGAAUUUGUUCAAAUUAUCAGAAUAAUGAGAUGUACAAGCUUCCAUAUCAGGGUGCUGCUGACCAUCUUUCAUUUAGGUGCAGAAAGUAAGAAAUGGUAACUGUGCUUUACCUAAAAAUUCGAUCAAGAUCAUCAAAGCUUCCAAUGCUAGCCCAGCCAUAAUCAACAAAAUCACCUUGCUCUUCACCUUCAUGAGGAUUUUGAAAAAUCUCAGUGUCCUUAUCAAGAUGAUCUGUCUCUGCGUUUUAAAAAAAAGAAUUAGAAUGACAGUAGCAUGUAAGAUACUAUGCUAUGAAAACAUCAUGCAACUCGUCACCCUAUCUACAUUUUUUCCUUGUAAUUGAAAUCUCAUCACCUGCUGAUGAAUCGAGUUUGGUAAUCUCAGUUAGAUUGUUAGAGAUUGAAGUUUCCAAGGAAUCCUGCUCAGUUUUGGCAGCAUUACGUGAGGACAAGUUAGGCCAUCGGUCCAUGUCAAGUCCUAAGGAAGAAGUUCCUUCACUUGUGUCAACAUUCGAAAUGCUCUCCAGCUUUCUGCCAUCAGUAUCAACUUUAGCCCCGGGUGCCUUCUGCUCACUAGAUUUAAUGGUGCUAGCUUCUUCACUCGAUUCCUUUUUCUUGCAAUAAUCUUCACUUGCCUCUGGAUAUGGCACGAUAUGGUCAUCACUAUCUUCAGCCUCACCCCAUAUUAUGUUCGUAAGCUGAAAAGAUAGUGAGUAAGCAUCAUCACUAAAUGUGGGAUACAUGAGAAGAAUGAAACAGUCACAAGUUAAUCUCUGGGUAACUUGGCAAGACUAUUUUCCCCAACAUAAUAUUCUGAAUAAUACACUAAUUAAUCAGUUCAGUUCCUUGUAAGGUGUGCGUGGGCACAUAUGAGCACACAUGUGUGUACGAGAGUUGCUAGUGUCAAUGAGUUGGGAACAAAAUAUUUAAUUGAGUCAUGCAGAAAAUACUAAAAUGUUCUAAAUUGUGUUAAAAAUAAAAUAGAAAGUAGAAGCCAUUGGCAUGAUUCAUUUAAAAAUUUCUACAAAAUUAAAAAAAGAAAACAAAACAAAAGGAGGAGAUGGCCCAAAGCAUGCUCUCAAUAAGAUGAAGUAAGACCUAAAGCUUCAUUGCAUGUACAGAGCACUUUGGAAACUUCAGUCUGGACAAAUAAAACCAAGGCAAAGUAUCUUCUUUUUGGAACUAAUUUCUUCACAGUAAGAUAUAACAUCCAACGCUACCUGCAUCACUUUCUCAUGGUCCUCUCUGACUCGAGUGAUCAUAAACCUUCUCAAAUCCCAUUUAAAGAAGAUUCCCUUUCUCACUUUUCGUUGGUAUUAUUUGACACCAAGAUCACAACCAAACAUUACCAAUAAGUGUGUCACCGGAGAAAGAAACUUAGGUGCCCUAAUACCAUAAAUAAAACCUAUUCAAUAAAAAUUAGACAAUAUUUUAUAGCUGUACAUCUAUAAUCAAAGUAAAAUGCCCAAAACUCUGAAUCCUGAAUAUGUGAAUCAAAGUAAAAGGCCCUAACUGAUGCACCAUCAGCAGUCUCCUACUUUGACUUGUGAUUAAUGACCUAGCAGUUCACUUCAACAACAUUAGUGAACAUAAGUUUGAAUUUCAGACCCAGCAAGAAGAAGUACAUUUUCCAGUAGGCAUGCAUAUCACCUUUUUAUCAAUAUCCAUGGAAGACAAACCAAGCAAUAUCAAGUUUUUUUCUGCUGGAUAUCCAAUAAAAAAUACCUCAUAGUGUGAACAUCUUUAAGAAGGAGGAUAUCACAUUGCACCCCAUCAACUGAUCCACAAAUAAAUUUGCAUCUUUCCAUCAGUUCCAAGCUCUUUGUAAGGAAAAGGGAGGGAAGUGCCUUCAAAGAUACCUUCUUCAUAGCUUCUUUAGAUAUGAAUCCACACGGCUUUCGUAAUCACCAAUCACUAUGCGCAGCUUCUCUUAUCAUCACAAGCUCCAUCUCUUUCCACGUCCUAACUUCAUUCGAUGAACUCUUCCCUCAGUUCCCAAGAAAAAUUAUAUUCAUCCCUCCUGCAGCCUUUUCCCUGCAUAUUUCCACCAGCUUCAUAGCUAUAUGGCCUGUGAAAACUGUCGUUGUUGCAGUGAUUCUGAACAACAAAAAUAACAAAGGAUAAUGCUUGUGUUUAAGAAGAGAUUGAUGAAUGAAAAGCUUAAAUACUUUAUUCAUAACUGCAGCUCAAUUUAUAGAGCUGAUACAUAACAAACUCCUACGAUCAUGGUCCUACAUUCAAGCCAUGAUCAAUUGAUAAUGGAAAUAACAGAGCUGCGAAAUAGCAGCAAGAACAAGAGAAUAGGAACAGAAUUGACUAAAUCAAAAAUUAAAGAAAGAAUAAAAUUCCAGCUCAGCAGUCCUGAACAUUAUUUCUAACACUCCUCCUUGUUUAGGAGCUGCAAACUCCCAACUUUGUUCUCAGAAAUUCGAAUUUGUUGACUGGCAGUGGUUUGGUGAAAAUAUCAGCUGCUUGUUCUUCAGUUUUGCAGUAAAUAAGAAUGAUACUCCAAUCUUUCUGCACCUCUCUCAAAAAGAAUAAUUUGAUGUUGAAGUGCUUGGUUUUCCCGUGAAACACAGGAUUAUUAGAGAUGGAAAUGGCAGCUUGAUUGUCAACUAGAAUUUCUGUGCUUUCCUUUUGCUCCAGGUUAAGAUCAGAUAAAAUUUUCCUCAGCCACAAAGCUUGAUUGACAGCAGCUGUUGCAGCCACAAACUCAGCUUCAGCAGUGGAUUGGGCUACGGUUUCUUGCUUUUUUGAAUUCCAUGAAAACACACCAGAACCUAAAGAGAAACAGUAGCCUGAUGUGCUCUUCAAGUCAUCAAUUGAGCCUCCCCAAUCACUGUCAGAGUACCCGACCAGUUUGAACUCUCUACUUCUUGUGUAUCUUAUGCCAAAAUUGCAGGUUCCUUUGACAUAUCUUAUCACUCUUUUAGCAGCCUUGAAAUGCAAUUCACUAGCACAAUGCAUGAAUCUAGACAAGAUACUCACAGCAUUCAAAAUAUCAGGCCUAGUUGCAGUGAGAUACAUCAAGCAUCCAACAAUUUUUCUGAAUUGUGCUUGAUCAACCUUCUCGGCUCCAUCUUCUUUACAUAGCUUCUCCUUUUGAUUCAUAGGAGUGCUUACUGCUUUGCAAUCUUCAAGUUUGAACUUUUUGAGGAUUUCUUUGGCAUACUUCUUCUGACAUAUGAACACUUCAUGUUCAGCUUGCUUAACUUCCAUUCCAAGAAAAAAGGACAUCAAACCCAAAUCUGUCAUCUCAAAUACACUCAUCAUCUCUUGCUUGAACGUCUCCACAUUAUUGUUGUUAUUUCCUGUUACAAGCAAAUCAUCAACGUAAAGUGAGAUGAUAAGGAUGUUAUCACCAUUUUGCUUGAUGUAAAGAGUCGAUUCAGAGAGGCUUUUAGUGAAUCCCAAGUGCUGCAAAUGUUCAUCGAUUCGGCUGUACCAAGCUCUUGGAGCUUGCUUCAAUCCAUAUAGUGCCUUCUUAAGAAGACAGACUUUGUCCUCCUCUCCUUCAUUUGCAAAGCCUUCUGGUUGCUCAGUAUAGAUCUCCUCCUGCAAAACACCAUUUAAAAACGCUGACUUGACGUCCAUUUGAUACACCUUCCAAUUCAGUUGUGCUGCAAUGGCAAGUAGCAGCCUGAUAGUGUCAAGUCUUGCUACCGGUGCAAACGUGUCUGAGUAGUCCACGCCAAAGAUUUGUGCAUAACCCUUCACCACUAGCCUGGCUUUGAGCUUAUUGAUUGAGCCAUCAGCGUUGAGUUUUGUUCGAUACACCCAUUUUACACCGAUUACAUUUCUGUUUUGAGGUCUGUCAACCAACUCCCACGUGUUGUUUCUCGUGAUCAUGAGAAGCUCCUCCUUCAUCGCAGCAAGCCAAUUUUGAUCUAGCUUGGCUUCUUCAAAGUCUGCUGGUUCACACACAGCAAUGUUGCACCUUUGAUACACAUCAAGGAGUGACCGUGUGCCUCUAACAGGAGUGUCAUCUGUCAUGUUGAUGUCCCAAUCUUCCAUGCUUUGAUCAUCUGUGUCUGAAACAAGAUAAUUGCCUUUUGGAGAGGCUGAAUCUUCUUUGAUUGCAUCGUUCCAAUCCCAUUCUUCAUCUUCCAGGAAUUGGACAUCUCUGCUUAUAACGAUUUUUCCAGUUUGUGGCUGGAAAAUCUUAUAAGCCUUUGAAACUAAGCUGUAGCCAACAAAAAUGCCUGGAAGUGCUUUCUUGUCAAGUUUAUCCCUCUUGACCUGUGGAACAAGGGUGAAGCACAAACAUCCAAAUACCUUAAGAAAAUUCAGAGAUGGUUUGUAACCAUACCAUGCCUCAAAGGGUGUUUGAUCCUUCAAGGCUCUUGUAGGCAGUCGAUUUUGCAAGAACACAGCAGUGUUUGCAGCCUCUGCCCAGAAUUUCUUUGGUAAAUUCUUCUCAUGUAGCAAGCAUCUUGUCAUUUCCAAUAUGAACUUGUUUCGCCUCUCACUAACUCCGUUUUGCUGAGGAGUAUACGGAGUUGUUAGCUGAUGAUGAAUGCCUGCCUCCUCACAAAAAACGUUGAAGGCAUUGGAAGUGUAUUCCUUGCCAUUGUCUGAUCUGAGGGCUUGAAUUUUGCAGCCACUUUCAUUUUCAACUUUGGCCUUGAAAUUCCAGAACACCUGUGCUACCUCUGACUUGUGCUUCAAGAAGAAAAUCCAGCACAUUCGGCUGUAAUCGUCAAUGAAGACAGCAUAAUACAGACUCCCAUUUAGAGAGAGUGUCCUUUGUGGUCCUGCAAUGUCAGUAUGAAUCAAUUGCAGCUUCCUUGUUGCUCUCCAUGUGGCUUCUGGAAAGGGCUUCCUGUUUAGCUUGCCAGUGUGACAAGUUCUGCAGCUGGAUAUGUGAUCAUCAAGUGCUGGGAAAUCCUUAGCCAUCAUCUUGGAUUUCAUAAGCAUCAGCCCUCUAUGAUGAUAGUGCCCGAGCCUCUUGUGCCAAAUAUCUGUGAUAUUUUCUUUAAUUGGGAAAGCAGUAUGCUCCUCCUCCAAUGGAUUUAGAGCAAAACUCUUCCCUUUCAUGAUUAUUUUGAAAAUAUCAUGACCAUUCACAUCUUUGAUCAAGCAGCAAUUGUUUUCAAACACUACUUUAUAACCCUUCUCAAUAAGCUGACCAACACUGAAUAAAUUUUGAUUUAUACCAGGGACAUACAAUACAUCAGAGAUGAACUUAGUACCUGAGCAAGUCAAGAUUGCCACGGUUCCCUUUCCUUCAACAACAAGGUAUUCUCCAUUUCCAAUUCGAACCUUUGAAGUUGUUUGUUUCAGCUCCUUGAAUAUGUUUCUGUCAUGUGUCAUGUGGUUGGUGCAACCACUAUCAAUGAGCCAGCUUUCACUUGAGUCAUUUCUGGAAAUGCAAGUGGCCACAAACAAUUGAUCUUCUUCUUCUUGAUCAGCAAUUUGAGCUUCUUCACCAUGCUGUUGAAUUUUGUUUUUGCAGAUGACAGCCUCGUGCCCCAUUUGAUUGCAUUUGUUGCACUUAGCUUCUGGUCUUCUCCAACACUUAAAAUGUGGAUGUGAUCUCCUUUUACAAUGCUGGCAUGGAGGAAAAGGUCCUUUUUUGUUUCCAGUGUUGCUCCUUGUUGAAAUUCCUGGAAUCACCUGAUGAUGCUUGACUGCUUCCAUUCUUCUUGUAAUUCUUUCCUUUUUCUCUAUGCUUGACGAAUAGAGCUCCUUCAAUCUCAUCUUCCUGUCUCAUGAUCCUCCUUUGCUCCUGAGCUUGUAAUGCAUUUAGCAUUUCUGUCAAAGUAAUUUUUGACAUAUCCUUGGUAUUUUCCAAGGAUGUAAUUGUAGCUUCAAAGAUUUCAGGAAUUGUUACAAGAAUUUUUUGAACAAUUCUUGACUCAGGCAGGGACGAGCCAAGUAAACUGAUUCGGCUUGCAAUAUUAAGCAGCCUGUCAGAGUACUCUUUGAUGGAUUCAGUCUUCUUCAUCUUCUGCAACUCGAAAUCACGCAUCAAGUUCAACACUUGCAUACCUUGAAUUCUUUCAUCCCCUUCAUACUCAGUCUUGAGAAACUCCCAUAUCUCCUUUGCUGUUUUCAGAGACAUGAUUCGAGUGAAAAUGGUGGAUGCUACUACAGCAAACAAGCACGCCUUUGCCUUUGAUUUUUUUGUCUUCUUCUCCUUCUGUGAUUUGAUCUGCACCAUGGUGGGAUUGUUUGGAAGUGCAGGGAUUUCAUAAUCUUCUUCCACUGCCUCCCACAAAUCCAAAGCCUCUAAGUAUGUCUCUAUCCGUACUGCCCAAAACUGGUAAUUGUCACCAUUGAACACUGGUGGAGCAAUUGAUGAGAAGCUUACUUCUGUCUCCAUGGGUUACAACACAGAUCCCUUUAAAUCAAGAUGCUCUGAUACCAAUUGUCGUUGUUGCAGUGAUUCUGAACAACAAAAAUAACAAAGGAUAAUGCUUGUGUUUAAGAAGAGAUUGAUGAAUGAAAAGCUUAAAUACUUUAUUCAUAACUGCAGCUCAAUUUAUAGAGCUGAUACAUAACAAACUCCUACGAUCAUGGUCCUACAUUCAAGCCAUGAUCAAUUGAUAAUGGAAAUAACAGAGCUGCGAAAUAGCAGCAAGAACAAGAGAAUAGGAACAGAAUUGACUAAAUCAAAAAUUAAAGAAAGAAUAAAAUUCCAGCUCAGCAGUCCUGAACAGUAUUUCUAAUUUCUGCUGGAUAUCCAAUAAAAAAUACCUCAUAGUGUGAACAUCUUUAAGAAGGAGGAUAUCACAUUGCACCCCAUCAACUGAUCCACAAAUAAAUUUGCAUCUUUCCAUCAGUUCCAAGCUACUUUGUAAGGAAAAGGGAGGGAAGUGCCUUCAAAGAUACCUUCUUCAUAGCUUCUUUAGAUAUGAAUCCACACGGCUUUCGUAAUCACCAAUCACUAUGCACAGCUUCUCUUAUCAUCACAAGCUCCAUCUCUUUCCACGUCCUAACUUCAUUCGAUGAACUCUUCCCUCAGUUCCCAAGAAAAAUUAUAUUCUUCCCUCCUGCAGCCCUUUCCCUGUAUAUUUCCACCAGCUUCAUAGCUAUAUGGCCUGUGAAAACGACUCCCAAAUUAAAACACUUGAGAAGCUCUAAUAGUUUUCUUAUUAUUUCUUCACUCUUUGUCAGUGUGCCACAUUCAAAUACUACUGAUCGAUUCUUCCUCGUCACAACCACUCACUUUCCCCUAAAUCCCAUACCAACUAAAUCAAUAUCUCUUAUCACUUAUCAAAACUCCAUCUAAUUUCCAAAUGAAUCACACCAUUUGAACACUUUGCCAAUUCCUAAUUCCUUCAAAAUUUUCAUCCAUCAAAAAAAAAACUGCAAGUCAUACUUUUUCACUCUAACACAGUUCUCCUUAUAAUCAAUCUUCCAAUUUAACCAUACUCUUGCCUCUAAAUCUGGCACGCAAAGCUUCUACAUAACCUUCCAACGUUACUUCUUGCCUCCCAACAAGGGUGGAGGCAUGCAUGGGCUAGGGUGGGCUCUAGCUCAGGUGAAGAUUUUAUUAAUAUUUUUGUUCUAGUUUUAUGUAAAGAAAAUUUGUAAUUCUCAAUUUACGUGGAGCCUUCUAAUAUGAUGCUUUAACUUGAGUUAAAAUUUUAUAAUUUUUGAAGAAAUUCAGAAAUUUGAUAAAAAACAAAAUCAUAAUUUGACCAAUUUUAUGUUAUUGGGUGUAAUUUUCAAUCUGACCAUCAGAUUGAGCUAAAAUUUUACAAGGAAUCUUAAAAUAUAUUAAAUAAAAUCUGGUUUAAAUUUUAAAAUGAACAGAGUUUGGUAGUGCUAACAAAAAAAACAUCAAAUAAAAGCAAAAUGACUCAUUAAGGGUAAAAUUGUUAUUUGCCAUAAAAAAAAAUCAGUUCUUCCUUCCUUUAUAUGUUGCUGACUGGGCAGAAACAAAAUAGAAAAUGAAAGAAAAGAAAAGGCGAGAGAAAAAGAGAGAAAAGUAAGGGAAAAACAUAAAAAAAAUCCUAGAAAAAAAGAUAAGAAAAGUGAGAAAAUAACCUUAUAAACUUAUAAAGUCCAACUUAUAAAAUAUUAAUCUAAGGAAGAAGCAAGUGAAGGAAGGAGGAAUUGAGAGAGGGAAAAAAUUUAAUUAUUUUAUUUUUCAGUUGACAUGAGAUUGUUAUUUUAUCCCGGUUAAGGGAUUGUUAUAAUAUCAAUUCAAAUUCGAUUAUAGAUGAAUUAUAUUUCACAAAACAUCGAAAGAUGUAACUUUAAUAGUGAGUUUAUUUUUACUUUCACUUUAAUUUUAUAUAUUUUUAAAUUUAUUUUUUAAUAUUUUAGGUAAUGUAUUUGAAUUAAAACUUUACUAUUAACUUUAAAAACUCAUGUACAUUAAUUAAUAAUUUAUCUUAAAAAAAAUAUUAUAUAUUUAUUUAAUAGUGCAGGACAGAAAAAAAAUCUAGCAAAAUUUAUUCUUUCCAACUUUAUUUGUUUUGACUGAAAAAUAAUCUUUUAUUUUUGUACUUCACAGGCAUGUGGUGGCAAAAGUCGAGCACGAUAUAUAUAUAUAUAUAUAUAUAUUUCUUAAGAUACAUAUGGCUGGUGAUUGGCGGAUGAUGGUGUCAUUAAGACUCUUGGUGUGUACCCUCAUCCUUUCUGUUUAUAGUUUAGUCCAUUUGCAGCUUUAAUGGCUACUAUCAGUUGCUUUGGAACCUGAUAUCACUAGUCUCAUUAUGGUACAGACAAGCUCAGGAUGAUCAAUCCUUGAGAAUCCACAUCCAACCAGAAAUAAACCGAAUUUCGAGCAUAAAUGACUCGAACUCGCUGGAAUGCUUUGGCACCUCCUUCAAUCCUAGUUUGGGAAACAGAAACACUAUCACCGUUAGUUUUCACCGAGGAAGACAGCACCCCCAUUCUCUCCUGCUGUGCUGAUGAUGGGGCAUGAGAGAUAGUCCAAAGGAUUUGCCUCACGUUGAAGUAUGCAACUGUCUAUGGUUAGCCUUCUCUUUUGUGAUGCAAGCAGCAACCAAGCUCUGCCUUCACUGCAUAAAGAAAUGAUUGAUUCACGAAGCCUGACUUCUUUGAAUUUGAAAGAUUAGAAUCAUUGGAAGAGAAAGAAGAAAAGGUGUAAAUGACAGCGGAAUGCUAUUAUACCAUCUGCCAAGGUAAUGCCAAGUCUACUUGCGAGGUAUUUAUAUCAUAAUUUUUAAAUAUUAGAUUGUCAGCGCAUACCAAGCAAAGAGCUUCGAUUCACAACGAAAUGAAUCCGUGCUAUGGGUUAUCAUCUGAUAUCAUCAUUCAUCAACAAUUAAUCGAAUGGGUUUAUACAUGAAAUGUUUUUAGUUUCUUAAUCAAUAAUUGAAGUUUUUAAUUGGAAGUCAAAUUAUUCUUAGAGAAUAAUAUAAUUAAACUAAACCUUGGUUAAUUGAUUGCUAGCAAAGGUGUACAUUUACAUGGCUUGAAAAUGAAGCUUAUCUUCCAUUUAAUUUUAUCAAAUAAAUUAUUUAUAGAGUAGUUUUGAGUGAUAUAAAUCAAAUAGGAAUUAAAUCAUGUUAAAACAUUUAAUUUUGUUGUCCCUUUAUAUUACAAACAGCAACAUUACGUAUCAUGUUUAUAAAUUCCAAACCACUCAUUUGAAACUAACGCUUUGUAUUUUUUUUAUAAAAUAAAAUAAAUCCUAACACUGAUGUGGACUAAAAUGUUUUUCAUAUAAAAUAUGAGGAUCAAAAAACUUUCAUGAACAUUUAAAAUAUGAUGUGGACUAACAUUUUUUUUUUGUUAAAAUUAGUUCGGUUUGUACUUUCUAGAUCGUUUUGAUGUGCUGAUAUCAAAAAUAAUUUUUAAAAAAUAAAAAAAACAUUAUUGGCAUACUUUUCGGCACGAAAAGCUAUUUGAAAAACAACAACUACCACACUUCCAAACACCCUCACUUAGUAUAAAAAAGAAAUCAUCACGUCGUUAUUUUCCACUCAGUAUAAAAAAGAAAUCACACGCCUUAGAGGAUAAAUAAGCAAUGCGAAAGUUAAAUAAAUUUAUGAAUUACCAGCAUAAUUCACACUAAUUCCCCUCUCUAACUUGCACCUCAUCAAUUUUUAUUCCUUUACUCUCGAACGAAAAUAAUAAUAUUUAAGUUAUUAAACCCAACUCGAAUUAUAAUUCAAGUAGGGGGUUAACAUAAAUCAAUACAAAGUGAUAUGACUUUAGGAGUUUUUUCAAAAAAACAAAUUAAAAUGAUGUGAACUUUUUUAAAUUAAAUUGAGUUUUAAUUGAUCAAAUAAGUUGGAUUACACCAGGUCAAAUUCUAUCCGAUUUAAUUUAAAAUUCAAUCUAAACUCUUAACUUACCUUCAGUCGGGUUUAAUAACAUAUUGACGUAACUUUAGACAAGUUAAGACAUGUUAUUUGUAUAAUCAGACCAAAUUCUCAAUCUUUAUUUAUCAUAAUAACGAUCCAACCCAUUAAUUUUAAAUGGGCCUAUAAAAACUCUAACUUGCCAUAAAAUCAGCAAUUUUACAUCCUAUUUUAUAAAAGACACUCCAACAUAAUUAAUUAAAAUAGUAUUUGAUAUUGUGGUAAUAAUUAUUUUUUAAAGUAUUUUUUAUUUAAAAAUAUAUUUAAAUAAUUUUUAAUUUUUUAAUUUUAAAAAUUAAUAUUUGACAUUACAUAUUAAAACAAUCUAAAAACAUAAUUUUUAAAAAAAGUUAUUAUUAUUUAAGAAAAACUGUAUCACCAUACAAACAAAUCCAAAAACACAAUUUUUUUAAAACAAUUAUUAUUCUUUUAAAAAAAAUUGUAUCACCAUAAAAACAAAUAAUUUCUAAGAGUGACAGUGAGCAACAGAAAUAAACCAUGGCAGAAACUAAAAAUACCUUUAACGGAAACUGUGCUUCGAUUCACAACGUUUUCAUCCUUGACCAAUGCUUGACAGAGUAGACGACGGGUCAGAACAGAGCUACCAGUCCUGCAUUUCUCGAAGGAUAGUUUUGGAAAUGCUCUAAGACCGUGGCCAUUAUGCUGUGUAUGUUUGAUAAUGCAGUGAAUAUAAUUUUAUAAAAAUAUUUUUCAAUUAAUAAAAUAUUUCUUAAAGAAAUUUUCAAUAAUUUUGUUAAGAAAUUUGCGUGGCCAGACAUUUUAAAGAAUGAUGCUAAAUUUGGGGUUACAUAGGCAGCUGCUGGCUCCUCUUGUAUCUUUUGGGUUAAAGGCAUCGUUUGUUUCCUGCCGUUGUCUAUUCUCCGGUCGUAGAAGCUGACUGCAAUCCUCCGACUCUGUUCUCAUAGUCAGAUGCUUCCUCUGUUUUCUCCUGGCAUUAAAAUUACAGCUCACCCUCAAAUCUUAUUGCCUCUGGUCAUUUUCUUGAAUGGUGCUUGGUGUUGUCUUCUAGCGUUUGCAGUAUCGUAAUUUGCUGGAGUUUUUGUAGUAUUUGAAUUGUGGGUGAUUGAGCUGCAGAAUUUGUGCAAUUGAAUUGAAUUUGUGCUAUGGGUUAUCACGCGAUAUCAUCAUUCAUCAACAAUUAAUUGAAUGGGUUUCUACAUUAAAUAUUUUUAGUUUCUUAAUCAAUAAUUGAAGUUUUUAAUUGGAAGUGAAAUUAUUCUUAGAGAAUAAUAUAAUUAAACUAAAUCUUGGUUAAUUGAUUGCUAGCAAAGGUGUAAAUUUACAUGGCUUGAAAAUGAAGCUUCUCUUCCACUUAAUUUUAUCAAAUAAUAUAAUUUUGAAAUAAAUUAUUUAUAGUAGUUUUGAGUGAUAUAAAUCAAAUAGGAAUUAAAACAUGUUAAAACAUUUAAUUUUGUUAUACCUAGGUCCCUUUAUAUUACUAACAACAAUAUUAUGUAUCGUGUUUAUAAAUUCCAAACCACUCAUUUGAAACUAAAGCUGUGUAUGCUUUUUAUAAAAUAAAAUAAAUCCUAACCUUCAUAUGAGGAUUAAAAAACAUUCAUGAAAAUAUAUGAAAAGCUAUUUUUGUCUCUAUGGGCUAGGUACGAUGUAUUCAGGUAUGGAUAUGGGUCUGGGCUUAGGAUGAUAGAUAUGGGUCCAGUAGGAGCACGAUAUUUUUUAAUGGUAAGGAAUGAGCUAUGCCUACCAGGCUGGUUACUCGGUCCAUUCACCUCUCUACCUGAGGCUUGUAUAGUUUAUUGAAAAAAACAAACUUAUAUCGUUUCUUUUAGAAUUCAUUUCUUUAUAAAGCAUGACAAUGUAACCAAAUUUGCAUUAUCUAUAUAAAAUAAAAGAAAAUAUAUAUUUUCACAAAUUCUACCAUAUUGCUCGACCAAAAUAUUUAUUUUUUGUUUCUAUACAUAUUAUAAUUAGUUACAAAUAUAACACCCAAUUUAAUAAAAUCAUAUGAGCAAAAUUCCAGGACUUUCCAUGGACAAAACCCAAUUUAAUAUAUAUAUAUAUAUAUAUAUAUAUAUAUAUAUUUCUCUACAUAUUCAAUAUAUUCAUCUAAAUGUAUUUAUCUGAAUGCUAUAUUAUCUUAUAAUUUAACUGGGACCAAAGAUAAAUGAUAACAUUUAUUUAAAUGCUAUUUAUGAUUGACACACAAAACCCUGUUUUCAUAGUUAAUUGAAGGAUAAUAAAUGGAAGAAUGACAAAUUGCCAGGUGGAAAGUUAUACCUCAUCACAACAAAUACUUUCCAGCCAAUUAAUUAAUGGCGGUUACAACUAAUUACAACAAAUACUCUUCACUUCUUCUCUAUAGUUAUGUUAAUGGUAAGAAAAGGUUGGAUAUUAGAAUUUUGAAAAAUAAAAUAAAAGAUAAGUGAUGUUCAGAUUAGAACUUGAUAUUUGAUAUAAAAUAUAUAUUUUUUAAUUAAACUUUAAUAACAAGUCAUAAAUCAACUCAAAAAUAGUAAAUAUUGUAAAAAAAAAAUGGUAAUAUUAUACACAAAAAAAGAGACUCAUGAAAUGACAUAAAAAAUAGAAUUUUUGUAUAUUUUUAUCUAUUCAUGAACUUGAACAUGAUUUAUAUUUAUAUAAUCAUACAUUUUAAUUGGAAAAUAAUCAAUAAAGGAAGAAAGAAUCGACUUUAAACAAAUAAAAAGAAAAUAGAAGAUGAAAUAUAAAUCACGUAAGAAUUAAGUCUUCUCGAAGACUAGCUUAAGAGUAAGAAAGAGGCAAAAUCUAUAGGAAUUUAAUUAAUAAAUGUUUCAUGCGUGUUGUUUCGAAUUGUAUAAAUAUAAAGAAAAUACAUUUAUACAUAUUAUAUUAUAAUGAAUAUAUUUUUCUGUGCAAAAUUGUUAUUAUUUUUUCAAAUCAAACCCCCGGUUUGAGUAUUGAGCAUAAAAAGAAUUUGGAUUGUUGAAUCAUUUAAACAAUUAGUGGAUCGCCAAUGAAUCAUUUUAUUAAAAUGAUAUUUUGCUUUUUUAUAAAAAAAUUUAUUAAUAUUGAUUUAACUAAGUUUGUAUCAGAUUUUACCAAAUCAAAUAAAUCAUUACAAAUUCAAUUGAGUAAUUAAGAUUUUAUCUUAUCAAUGUUUUUUUCUAAUUCAAUUUUAAACCUGGUUAAUGCCAGGAUCUGGAGGAUGUGCUUCCUAUAUCAAAUCACCAUGCAGGGAAGAGUUUAAACAUUUUUCAUUUUUCCUAUAUCAAAAAAUUACAUUUCUUAGCAAAACACACGAGUUAUAUAUAUAUAUUUAAACAAAUUACAAAUAAUCUAAUCAAUUGAUUAAAGUUGUGACACCUUAUAGUACGUAGACGACUAUAUAAUACUAUAAGAUAUUUAACAAUAUUUAUUUUUAUGAAGAGUAAUAUGUUGCUUGUCUAUGUAAUUUCUCUUUUAAAUUGGGUUUAAUUUCAAAAUCAACGUGUAACUUUGUACGUAGGGGCAUGUCAUGGGCAGUGUUGGACCAAAUUCUCAAUCUUUAUUCAUAGAGGUGGAUCAUGAUCGAGAUUCGAGCCUAUUAAUUUUAAAUGGAUCUACAAAACCUCUAUUCGGCCAUAAAAAAUAAAAUCUCAGGUGCCCAUCAAUGAUAGGAUCUAUUUUGUAAAAGACAUUUCAACAGUAUUAAAAUAAUGUUUAGUAACGUGAUAUCUGAUAUUUUUAAAAAUAUUUUUUUAUUUAAAUUAUAUAUUUUUAAAAUUUAUAUUUAAUAUUAUUAUAUUAAAAUAAUAUAAAAAUAUAAAAAUAUAUUUUUAAAAAAAAUCUUGGUGUCAAAGUGAGUGAAUAAAAAAAAUAAAUCAUGGCAGAAACCACGAACACCUUUAACAGCAAUGUCGUUUCAGUUUGACAGAGUUGUGUUAAAAAAAAAAUUCCUUCAAUUUGUAUUGACUUUUUAAUGUUUUAAGUUUACAGUGCUCCUAUAUAUAAACAGAGAAGAUGUUCUUAAAAACUAUGGAUUCCUGCUAUAAACAGGACUUAUACAAAUGUGGAAUAAAUCAAUUACUAAACUAUGGAAUAGGACUUAUACAACUGUGGGAUAAAUCAAUUACCAAACUUUUUCUUACAAACUCUCAACUAAAUCACUUUGUAAUUAUACUAACACUUUGAGUCAAGUUAGUGCAAAGAUAUCUUACCCAACUUGUCAAGGGAGCUCUGAAAGUUUUUGCUGAAGACAACUUUUGUAAAGAUAUUCGUGAGCUGAUUCUUUGAUUUGACAAAUGAAAAGUUAAUCACUUAUUAUUUAAGAUUUUGUUUAAUAAAAUGUUUGUCUAUUUCAAUAUGUUUCGUGUGAUCAUGUUAAAUUGGGUUAUAAAAUAUUUUAAUGGCAGCUUAAUUAUCACAGUAUAGGUUCGUUCUUGAUUUGGGAGCAAAACCAAUUUCUGAUAAUAAUCUUCUGAGCUAAAGCAGUUUACGUAGUCCUUUUACCGUCCCUUGAAACUCAACCUCUGUGCUUGACAAGGUAGCUACUUUUUAUUUCUUGCUUCUCCAUGUGACUAAAUUGCCACCAAUAAACGUGAAGUAUGCUCAUUAAUCUCAUGCAUAUUUUGAUUAUUUUGUUGAAUAUUUUAAUCAGGUUUAUGAUAUGGAUUCUUAUAAUAAAAUUUUCAUUUAAUUUUUUUAUUUUCAUGGGGGGUUUUAAUGUAGGGAACAUAGGAAGUGUAAAGGUGGCAACUUUUUUGCUUUAUUUUAUACCGUAUUUAAAGCCAGUGCCUUUGAGGUUUUAUGGCAGCCCAUCAACAAUAUUCUUAGUAGGAUCUUAUCAUUUAUGGUACUAGCCUGUUGGGCCUCCCUUUUCAUUAUUUUAAGCGUAGUUGCCACCCAUCUUUCUGUGGCUCCAUGUUCAUUCUCCAAACCAUUCAUAUAGGUAUCUUAAAUAGUGUAGCUGGAGCUUUACUGGGUAUGCUUUUUAAUAUAUUUUUAAGUAAAAUAUAUUUUUAAAAAUAUUUAAAAAACAAACAUUACUGUACUUUCAAAAACAUAAUCCUCUUGUAUCUGACGCUUUAAAUUCCAACAAUGAGUUACUGAUUAGAUAAUAUCUACAUUCAAUUAAAAAUAUAAUUUCUUGACAGCGAAAUAAAGAAAAAAGUAGCAACCCUGUAAUAUCUAGGUAAUUUCUAUGCUCUUUAAAUUAGGCCUCUAAACUGAGACUGUAAUGAGCCCAUGACAGAGGAAGACAUGAAAGUGUAAUUUCAGAAGACCAUUAUUCAUAUAACAAAUUUAGUAAAUUUAGUAAACUCGUAAAGUUAAACCGAUUUUACUAAUUCUGUACUAGUUAGAUUUGAUUUUAUUAAUUUUAAAUUUUUAGUUAGAUUUAGUAUGUUAAAUAUAUAUUAACUUAAAUUUUACUAAUAACUCAUAAUUUUAACAACCUUGCUUGUAAUAGCUCUUGUGGUGGUUGAUGUUUAAAAAAGAUAAUUGAGAAAUUAUUUUCACUCGUGACUUUUUUGAUUUAAAUAAGUAUUGAAUUAAAAAUAUUUAAUUAAAAUUAUUGUUUUAAUUUAAUUACCACAAAAGAUACUGGUGAAGGUGGAGAGGAUGCAAAAGAUGAUUGGGUAUCCUAUUAAUCGUCAAAACAUCAACUAUUGUGGUCAAUUCUGCUGACUGCUGAGACUAAAAGCCAACCACUUGAAUAAUGGGCAUUAGCUGUUUAGCACUCCUUGGUAAACACUUCAGGCUCCUUUCCCGCCCCUUUCCUCGCUGGUUCCUUAAUAGCUUCAAGGGGUGCGAGCGCCUCGUUCGAGGAUUGAGCAUAAAGGACUAAAAGAGUUCAAUAAAUACUAAAAGACAUAAAGUGAAGUUUUUAUAAUAUUCAUAGCAAUGGUCAUCAGCUAAUUUAUAAUUUAUUUAUCUACUUUAUCAAUGAAAUAAAAGUGAUAAAAGAAAAGGAGAGAAGAAAUAAAGUGAAGUCUUCUUCUGCAUUAUUAGCACAUCACGUGAAAAUAAAGAAUGGCAUAUAAUAAAAGUUAUUCCAAUCAAACCUCCUUUUUCAACCGAUGGGGUCUCUUGUCAAAUAAAGCAAGGACAGACCGAGUAAGAUGUGGGACCUAACUGCACUUUCCUGGCACGCGUAGUUCACGCAUACACAAGCACAUUCAGAAUAGUAUUCAAUUUAAAAACACAAAAAAAAAAUAAAGGAAUAAAAGAAGGAAAAGUGAUCAAAGAAGAAGAGAGAAGAAAUAAAGUGAAGUCUUCUUCUGCAUUAUUAGCACAUCACGUGAAAAGAAAGAUACAAACAAGAUUACUCCAUUUUCCAGUCACUUUUUCAACCGAUGGGGCUUCUUGGCAAAUAAAGCAAGGACAGACCGAGUUGAUGCGCUACGUAACUCCUUUUUCCUGGCCCGCGCAAUUCACGCAUACACAAACACAUCCAGAAUAAUAUUCAUAAAAUUAAUUAACAUCCCGUAAAAAUAUACUUUAAUUUAGAAAAGAUUUUAAAAUGUUAUUUUUCAAAUUAAUAAUAACAAAAUUUUAUAUUAAAUUGGUUCGCUUAAGUUAACCUAUUAGAUUUAUAAUUCAGGUUAUGAAAUUAUAAUACCUAGUUCACAAAUAACCAAAUAUGGUGAAGUUUUUCCAAUCAAACCCUUUUUUUUUUUUAAGAUGUAAUUUCUAGAAAAAUAAAUCAAAGACAAACAGAGUAAAAUUUCAAAAAAUAGAGAAAGAUGGAAAAUCCCACCAAUAUUUAACCCACUUAAAUUGAGUCCAAAUCAUAAAAGCAUCUACAAAGAGUGUGUUAAAUGAAAAGUUAAAAAUUAAAAAAUAUAUAAUUUUGACUCUUUCAUGUUUAUUUUACACACUUCAAAAAAAUAUUAAAUAAAAUAUUAAAAUAUUUUUUUUUCUUAUAAAUACUAUUUCUAAAUAUCUAUCAAAAAAACCAAUACUAAAAAAAUAGAGUCAUCAAAAAAUAAACCAAUUAAAUAUAAUUAUAUGAAAAAAUAUAUUUUAAAUAGUGCAGCCUGAGCUUAAUGGUUAAAAUAAUUUUAUAUUUUUUAUAAUUGUUAACAUCAACACAUUAAAAUCAUUAAAAAUAUUAAAAAAUCAAUAAUUUAAUAUAUUUUUAAAUAAAAUAUAUUUUUUAAAAAAACAUAUAAAUUACUACUAUUAUUUCAAACACACAAUCCUAUUCCAUCUUAAAAUCUGAGCUAUUAGGAUAGUAAAGUUAAUUCGUUAAAUUUACAAUUGUGGUGGUGGGAUAUUAAAAAAAAUCUUAUAUUAAAAUUAAAAAUUUUAAAAAUUCUUGAAUAAAAAAACAACAAAACAAUUAUUCAGGUAAUUGUAUAAAAUAUAAUAAUAUAAUGUAUAAUUUAUAAUUGAUUUAUUUACCUUAUCAGUCUUCUGCUGCAUGAUCACAUCACGUGAAAAGCUUGGCAUUUAGUGAUGUUUUUCCAAUCAAACCUCCUUUUUUCAAAGAUGGAAUCUCGAGGUAAAUAAAUCAAAGACAAAACCGAGUAAAAUGGAGUCCAGAGCAUAAAAGAAUCUCCAAUGAAGCUGCUAAAUGAAUAACUAAAAAUAAUAAUAAAAAAAAAAUUGUUUUUGUUUGUUUUUUAUAUUUCAAGAAGAAAAUCAAAUAAAUCGUUAAAAUAUUUUUUUUUCACAUAAAUAUUAUUUUUAUAUAUCUCUCAAAAAAAUCAAAAUUAAUAAAAUAAAACCAACAAAAAAAAGCCAAUUAAAUCUAGGUAUCUAGAAAAAAAUAACUUUAAAAUCAUUAAAAAAAAAAAAUGUUUAUUUAUUUCACUUUAUCUCGAAAAACAGUAACUUUAAAAUCAUUAAAAAAAAUAAAAUGUUUAUUUAUUUCACUUUAAUAGAAUUGGCUUUUCAAUGUAUUUUUUCUAUUGGAAUAUAUAUUGUAAAAAAAAUAUAUUUAUAUUAUUUAAAAUACUAUUUUAUUAGUUUAUUUUUUUAAAAUAAUAUUUUUUAUUAAAGAUACUCCAACAAGGGCCGAGAGAGCAAAGGCUUUUACGAGUUCUGUGUUCCGUAUACUUCUCAAGGGGAAAAAAAUAAUGUUUUGUUAGAGAUUUGUUUUUGAUAGAAUUGUUAGCGAUCUUAGCCGAUGCAUCUGGAUUAUAAUUUUUAGCAUUUAUACUAUUUUAUAGCGCUAAUAUCUUAAAAAAACUUAUUUUCUAGCUUUUUUUUCAUGGUAUAAUAAAAUAUUAAAAAAUAUUUUUCAACUCAUUAUCCUUAAUACAAUUAAAUUUCAUAGAAUAGUCUAUUUUUUAGAAAUAUAGUUUACUAUGAGAUUUAUUGGAUAAAAGAAAUUCACUUUGUAACAAUGCACUAGAAACUAAAAAAAAAUAAGCUAAUGAUCAUUUAAAAAUAUAGUAUAUUGGAAUCAUCUUGCUGAAUAGGUGAGUUUGGGAGUUUGGUUGCUUAACAGGCGAGUGAGGGUUAAAUGUAUCCAAUUAAAUAAUAUCUACAUUCAAUUAAAACUUAUGGUACAAUUACUUGACAGCAAAAUAAAGAAAAGCAGGAACCCUGUAAUAUCUAGGAAAUUUCUAUGCUCUUUGAAUUAGGUGCCCAAACUAAGGCUAUAAUGAGCCCUGAAUUUACACAGAAGAAAUUUCAUGGGAAAUGGGUUGAUGUCAGAGGCAGACACGGAAACGUAAUUUCAGAAGACUAUGACUCAAAUCAGUGGCUGAAAUCCAAUCACUCAAGGGAUGGUGACACGUUGUCUUGAGUGGGAGACAACUGGUCUUCAGUACAAAGAGAAACAACGUUUUUUUUUUAUUAUUAUUAUUAUUAUUAAAAGCGAGUGUACGAGUUACUUCCAUGUUUUUUAAUUAAUUUUAAAAUUAAUAAUUAUAUAAAUUUUUAAUAAUUAUAAAAAAGUUUAAAUUCAUGAAAAGAUUUGAAUUCAUAAUUAUUAAAAUACAAAUAUAUUUUCCUGAGUGUCUUUGCUCUCGUGACAGCUCACGAUGGUGGGGGGUUUAAAAAAAAAUUUAAAAAAUAUUUUUACUUGUGAUUUAUUUAAUUUAAAUAAGUAUUUAAUUAUAAUUAUAAUUAACGAUAUAUUGUAACUAAAAUUACUAUAAAAAAGAACAUAGUGAAGGUGGAGAGGAUGAGAAUAAUGAUUGGAUAUCUUAAUAAUUGUAAAAAGAAAGUAUUUUUUUAUGGUGAAGUUAUUUGUAUAUGAGAAAAGACUGAGUUUUGUAGCUCAGAAAAAAUAAACAUGUUGAUAUUGCUUUUUAAUAACCCAUGAAUGGACCGUAAAUUGCAACGGGUUCACAAACACAAACAUGUGCUUCACAUGUAACCAAACUUAUUGUUAUCUGCAUUAAAAGCAAAAGAUGCUAAAAACACACACAUUUGAUCGUUGAAGAUGUUUUUAAAUUGUUUUCUUAAUUAUUUUUCAUUUAAAAAAAUAUGAAUCAAAGAAGUUUAAUAAUUAUAAUUAUUAAAUAUUUUGAAAUAAAAUGAUCCAUCUAUAUUAAAAAAAAACAUCAUUCCCACGUGUGGAAGAUAAAAUUAAUCAACCUAAUCUUAUUGGAUUGCAUUUUAUUAAAUCAAACCAUCAGUAUCUUUAAUGCAGGAUAUUUUUGUUUUUCCAAUUCAAGUAUACUUUUUAAUAUAAUAAAUUUUUUUAACCUAUUUUUUUAUUAUUAUUUUAGUAUCAUUUUGUUAUUUCUAAUAGUUUGUGGUUACCAGUUUAGUCCUGAAUUCAUUAUUAGAACCAUCAAUUUUAAAAAUCAAUGUAAGUUGAUUUUUAUUAUUUUUUAUUUUUUAAAAUUAAUUUAUUAAAAAAAAAUUCCAUGAUUUCUUUUUAAGAGACUAACCCUUCAUCGACAAACACUAAUGUACCCUGAAAAACAUAAUCUUAUUACAUCUGACGCUUUAAAUUCCAACAAGGAGCACCUACACAUCGAAAUAAAGAAAAGUACUGAGUGCCUUGGCGGUGGGAGGAGCUCUGCUCCUGAGUUCGAGUGUUUACAUGUAUAUCUAUCAUUCUCGUGGUGUUUUAUAUAUCUAUUGGGUUUAUAAAGUAUUCAGUGGGAUUAGUUGUGGUGCGCGCAAACUGACCCGAACAUCCAAAUAAAUAAAUAAAUAAAGUAGAAACCCUGCAUGUGGGAAAUUUUUGUUAGGCCUCCAAUCUGAGGCUGUAACGAGCCCUGGAUCUACACACAAGAAAUUUCAUGGGAAAUGGGUUGAUGUCAUAGGGAGACAAGGAAGCGUACUUUCAAAAGACCAUGAGACAAAUCAACGGCUGAAAUCCAAUCACUCAAGGGAUGGUGACAUGUUACCAUGAGUGGGAGACUGCUAGUCUCCAUCUAAAUGUUUAAAGAUGACUGGGUAUCUUAGUAAUUGUAUAACAAUUGAUUUUUUUUGCUGAAGUUGUCGGUGUGGAUGAGAAAAUACUGAGUUUGUAGCUUAGUAAAAACAUGUUGAUGUUGAUGUUACUUUUUAUUAGCUCAUGGUUGGCCCGUAAAUUAUAAUGGGUCCCACAAUCACAAACCUAUGAUUCACAUGUAAUUUAUGUUUUACAACUUAUUUUUAAAAUUAUUUUUUAUAUAUAUUUUUAUACCAUUUUUAUUUUAAAAAUUUUAAGUUUAAAAAAUAUUAUUUUAAUAUAUUUUUAAAUAAAAAAUACUUAAAAAAAAAAUUAAUAUCAGACACAGUGAAUGUUUUAUAAAAUUUUACAAUCGCUUUUACAUUUUGUUUAGAUCACAUUUGAAAAUGCGGUACACUACAAUAAAGUCCGUUAUAUGAUUAAGGGUAUGUUUGGUAUUGCGGUUGCUGUUGUGAUUGUAAUUAUGGUUUUAAAAAAAAUUGUUUUAUAAAAAGUAAUUUUAGUUGAGGUUGGUUUGAAAAAAUAUAUGUUUGGUUAAAACUGUAGUUGAAAUUGAGGUUGAACAAAAAAUAGUUUAAUGUGUUUGGUUAAAAAAAUGUUUUUCAAAUUGAUGUUAUAAAAUCAUUAAUAUAUAUAUAUACUAAUAUUAAUUAUUUUUAAUUUAAAUAUUGUAGAUUUAACUACUGUUAUUACAUCAUGAAAUAAAUAAUAUUAAUAUCAAAUAUUUUUUAUUAUUAGAUUAAAAUAUAUGUAAUCUCAUUACAUAUGAAAUCUAUCAAACAAGGACUAUAUUUUUCAUGGUUUCUUAAGCGUGCAACAACAAAAACUGAUUUUUUAAAUUUAUAUAGUGUUAUUAAAUAAUAAAGAUUGUGAUAUAUUUAUUAUUGAAAUUGCGAUCAAAUUUCAUAAAUGCUACGUCAUCAUGCGAUAUCUUUCUAAUUUAUAUAGUGUUAUUAAAUAAUAUUAAAUACUAGUUUUUCGAGUAAAACAAUUUAAAAAAAUAUAUAUAAUUUCACUACGUACAAAAGUUAUUCGACAAAAACUACAGUUUUCAUGAUUUUUUGAGCAUGUAAUAAAAUUAGGUAAAAUAUUAUCACGAAUAAAAUUGAGAUUACAGUACGAGUAAAUUUAAUUCACCUUAAACUAAUUUUUUUAAAAAAAAUAUCGUUUACUAUUAACUGCACUGGUUUUUUAGGGGGGAAAAUAAACUUUGCUCACCGGUUUUUUUUUUUAAAAAAAUAAAUAAAUAAACUUUUCUUACAGAUUUUUUCUUUUUUUAAAAAAAGAAGACAUGGUGACAAUGGAGCCAUGCUCCACUGUUAAGUGGUUGUUACCCACGAGAAGCAGUAAAAAUAACGUGGACCCUAUCAAGCAAAAUCAAUCUUGCUUGAUUACCAAACAUUAAAAUAUGUGGCUGCGAGUAAACUCGCCACACUACCAAACAACAUCUAAAGUCUUUAAUUGUCUUGCAUUUAUCUUUAAAACUGCUAUAAGAAUUAAUUAAUUGUGUCAAUUCAAUUCUUUCGAUUGACAUUGAUGCCAAACAUGUUAAUUCAUGAUAUAAUUAAGCAAUUCAAUACAAAUUUACUAAUAUAAUUUAUUUCGGCUUAAACCUUUGAAUAAAGCAAAAUGCAGAGGUUGUGAAAGUGAAAUACCUUAAUAAUUUUUAUGCUUUACAACUCUAGGAGCCACACAAAAUAUAAUGCGUUUGUUACUAUUUAUUUGUUAAAAAGUAUUUUUUUUAUUAAAAAAUGAUUUUUUAAAAAAUAAAUUGAAAAAUAUUUUUUAAUAUUUGAUUAUUUUAUAUAAAACAAGCCAAAAAAUAUUUUUUUAAUUUUCUUCUCAAAUUUAUUAAAAGAAUAAGAAACAAAUAUUUCAAAUAAAAAUAUUGAAGGAAGAUGAAAUUAAAAAAUAUAUAUAUUUUUAUAAAUUAUUUUAAAUAAAAUAAAUAAUAAUUAGAAGAAUAAGAAACAAAUGAAAAAUUAAAAAAUUAAAAAAAAAUAAAACAGAAAUAAAUAAUAAUCAAAAUAAAAAAUUAAUACAAAAAUAAUAUUAAACCAAUAAUUUAAUUUAAAAAAAAACAAAAUAUAAUUUAUAAUUUAUAAUUUAUUUAUUUGCUUUAUCAAUGAAAAGUGAUGGUAGGAGGGAGAGAGAGAGGAAAUAAAGUGAAGUCUUCUGCUGCCUGAUCACAUCACGUGAAGAGCUUGGCAUUUAGUGAAGUUUUUCCGAUCAAACCCACUUUUUUCAAAGAUGGAAUUUAUUGGAAAAUAAAUGAAAGACAAACCGAGUAAAAUGGAGUCCAGAGCAUACAAGAGCCGAGAUUGAAACAGGAAAUGCAAGAAAAAGAAGAUGGGCCCUUGUUUUCUCUUUUUACGGCCGGCGACCGGAUAUAAAAAGGGAGGAGAUGAAGCUUUCAAAUUAUUUUCAAUUUUGCGGUCACUUAUUGUGUCCAUGUCAUUUUGUGUAAUUGCCCAGCUACCGGUACUAUUUUAACACUGUUAAAAGUCUAAAUCAUCAAUAUUUCCCCAAUUUAUCUCUAAAAAAAAUUCACUUCAAUUAAUAGCAUUUUUUUAUUAUUUCUUAUGUCAAUGUUUACCUCUUUUUGAUAAACUCGUAUAUUUUUGUACCAGAGGUCUAAAAUUAUUCUGUCCACUUAUUACUUAUUUAAAUUUAUUAGAAUGUUUUAAAUAACUUUUUUAAAUUUUAAUCCCAGAGUUUACAUGCAUAAUACAUGAGUUAUAUAAAUUAUGAUUCAAAAUAUUGUUAUAACUAAAUUAAAAGAAAAAUUCAGAGUUAAUUUCUUGAAUAUUAAGUUUUCUGAUUUUUCUAUAUAAUUAAUUUUUUAAGUUGAUUUGAUUAGUAUUAUUAUACUUUUCUCAUUCUCGAUAAAAGAAAAAAGAAAAAACCAGAAGAGUAUUUUCUUUCUAUUGAAAAUAUUUGUGGUUAGAAGAAAGUAAUUUUCACUGGAGUGUCGUUUUGGGAUGCAACAUGAACUUGACCUGUCUAAUUUGUACGGCAUGAGAAGAUGUUGCUUUACAUGGCUUCCUCCUUAAAAAAAUUCCAUCACAUUUGAGAAUUUUGUUAUAAAAAAGAUAUCUCUUUUAAAGAAGAAAAGUGAUACCUAAAAUUUAUAAAUGAUCUAAACUCUUAAUUUUUAAUCGAUGUAAAAUGUUAGAGUAUCAUGUUCCUGAAAAAAUCUUUCUAAGUGUAUAAUAUGUUGCAUUUGGGGCAAAAUUAAUAGUUUUGAAUGUUUUUAUUACUGAAACUUUUUUUUUUCUCAACCUCUUUUUCUCUCUCUUCUUGUCAAAUACAAAAGGUUUUUUUUUUAAUUUUUUAAAUAAUUUUAUUUUUAUUUAUUUUAUUUUUAUCUUUUGUAGAUUUGUUUUUUUAUUUAUUUUGUUUUUUAUCGUUUGAUUUUAUUUAUUUUUUUAUUAAACAUUAACUUUAUUUUUAUUUAUUAUUUUUUUAAUUAAACAUCCUUUUUAAUUUAUCUCUUAAUAUUUAAUUUUAAUAUCAAAUUUAAUUAGUCCUAUUUUAUCUUACACUUUAAAUUCCUACAAGUACCCGAUCAAACAAUAUCUGCAUUCAAUUAAAACUUAUGGUACAAUUACCUCAUAGCGAAAAAAAAAAAAAAGUAGAGACCAACUAAGAAAUUUAUGUGCUGUUCCCAGCUAUGUUGCUGACAUUGGACAAGAGAGACUUCUUCAGCCACCGAUAAAAUUAUUUUUGUUGACUUUUUGUGCAGUUUGUCACUUUGCUUCGAUCUUUCUCUCUUUGCACCACAAACACUUGGACAUGGUAGAUACCAAGCACGGUUUUGCUGUCAAUGUACGAUACCAUAUUUGACAAUAUCUUUUUUUUUCUUUUUUCUUUUUUAUGAAGAGUAGUAUGUUGGUUAUCUAUGUAUGUUUUUUAAAAAAUCACAUAUAUAUUUAUCUAAAAUUAUUGAUAUUUAAAAAAUUACAUUAUUUUUUUAAUAAUUCGUUCCGCUGUUCUUUUAGAAUUAAGCGAAUAUUAUGCAAAGCUUCAAGUUUUGUGUAAUUGUUUUUAAUACAAGAGAGUUUAACCAUUUUAAAAUGUUUAAUGAGUUAUUUAAAAUAUUGAAAGUAAUGUACAAUAACUAAUUUAUAAUUUUAUCAUUGCUCUUGCUUUAUUAUAGGUCAAGUCAAGAUUUUCUUAAAAAUAAAAAAUUAUUUAAAUUGUGAAUGUUUUAAUUUAUUCUGGUAAAACAAAUUUAAAUUGUGUGGUGAUUUAACUUGAUUGAAUUUGUAGUUUAAAAAACAAUCUAGAUAACCAGUAAAAAUAUAAUUUAACUCGUAAAAAAUUUCAAGAUUACAUAUAUUUUUUUAAUAUUAAGAUAACAACAAAUUAAUUGAUUUGGGUCAACUCAAUUUAACUUAUUAAAUUCAUAACCCGAGUUAUGAGAUUAUGAUAACCAUGUAGAAAAUAAAUUAUUAAGUCUAAUUCUCAACUACCAAAUAUUAAAAGAUAAAAUUAAAAUAAAUAAAUAAACCAUGUGGAGAUUGAUUCGAUGUGACUUAAUUGAUUUAGCUUGUUCAAAAACAACCCGGAUAAUCAGUAAAAAUAUAAUCUGACUUAGAAAAAAAUUCAAGAUGAUACUUUUUUUCCAAUACAAAGAUAAUAAAGUAAUAGAUUGAAUUGGGUUAACCAGAGUUAACUUGUUAAAUUUUUUAUCUGGGUAUAAGACUGUGAAAUCUAAUUCCUAUUCAACUAAAUAUUUAAUGGUAUAAUUGAAAAAUAAAAUCAAUUAAAAAAUGAUCUAAAAAUAUGAACAUAAUUAACAUGUCAAGUUCAUAACCUAUGUUAUAAUAAAGAUACAAUCUUAUAGAAAAAAAAAAUCAAAAUAAAUUAUGAAGUUCAAUCUUAAAUAACCAAAUUUUAAAAGAUAAAUUUUUUUAAAAAGAACGUAAAAAUGACCCGAGUAAAUCCACCAAACUCAUAACUCGUUAUGAGAUCGAGAUAAUCUUAUAUAAAAAAAAAUUACAUGAUUUAACUCGUCAAAUCUAUGACUUUGGUAACAAGACCAAGACAACCUCUUAAAGAGUAAAUAAAAAUAAAUUAAAAGUGCAAUCCCUAAUUGACCAUGUCAAACUCGAUGUGAAUGAUGCAAUUUCUAAAAAUUUAAAUUAAAAAAUAACAUAAAAAAUAAUUUAGACCAACCCGUCAAGCAUCAUUAUUAGAUUACGAGGCUAGGAUAACAUAAUAAAAAUAAAAUCAAAACAAACCACAAAGUCUAAAUUCUAAUAAAAUAUAUUAUUAAAUAAUAAAAUUGAAGAAAAAAAAUUAAUUAAAAGAAAUUCGAGUCAAUUAGGCUAACUUGCUAAGCCUGUGAGUUAGGUUAUAAAACAAAAAUAACCCAAUAAAAAGUAAUUUCACUAUUGAAGGACUCGUGAUCUACGUCAUGAAAUCAACAUAACCUCUUACAAACAAAAUAAAAAAAAAACAACUCAAUUUAAUUUGGAUUAAAAUGUCAAAACCUCCACCUCUAAUCAUAAAACUAGGAUAAUUAUAUAGAAAAUAAUUUGAAAUAGAUUAUGAAAUUCCAUUCCCAACUGACAUUAUAUCAAAUGAUAAAGUUAGAAAAAAAAUUCAAUUAAAAAAAUAUAAAAUAUAACCCGAGUCAAUUUAGGCUAAUAUGUUAAGUAUUAUUUCCAAUUUAUGAGGUUAGAAUAAUCUAAUACAAAACAAAUAAAACAAAAUAUGAAACUUAAUUUUUAAUUAAAAGAUAAAAUUGUAAAAAAAAUUUAAUUAAAAAAAAUCAAGUUAAGUGAGUGAAUCCAUUAAAUCUACAAUUUUUAUUAUAAAAGUGAGACAACUUAAUAAAAAUAAAUUAAUAUUAAAAUAAAAAACAUUCAAUAAAAAAAACACUCAUUCAGAUAAUUGUAUAAAACAUAAUAAUAUAAAGUAUAAUUUAUGAUUUAUUUAUUUAUUUUAGCAUUUAGUGAAGUCUUUCCAAUCAAACCCCUUUUUUUUUUUUAUAAUUUAUAAAAAAUAAAAAUAUUUUAUUUUAAUAAAUGUUUAAAUAAAAAACAAUAAGAGACAACCGUGACCACUUAAAUGGACUCCUAAGCACACCAAGUUAAGAGUUAAAGAGCCGAGAGAGAAAAAGCUUUUGCCAGUUCUUUACACAUUCUUUCCCCUUCUGUCACCUGAACAAAAUCCCCUCUUCUUCUUCUUGUUUGUUUACUCUUCCUUCGUUACUUUGCAAAGAGGAGAAACCAUGGCCGGGGCUUUAGUAGGAGGAGCUUUUCUUUCUUCUUUCCUUAAUGUUUUGUUCGACAGGAUGGCCUCUCCCCAGGUGAUUGCCUUCUUCAGAGGCCAAAAAGUCAACGAUAGUAGUCUGCUGCAGAACUUUGAAGAAAACAAUGACAUCUCUCAGGGUGGUGCUUGAAGAUGCUGAGGAGAAGCAGAUAACAAGUUUAACUGUGCGGGAUUGGCUGGUCGAUCUUAAAGACGCUGUCUAUAACGCCGACGACUUCUUGGAUGAGAUUGCUUAUGAAGCUCUACGGCAGGAGUUGGAAGCUGAAGAGCAAACCUUCACAGGUCAGACGCAGAAGCUUCUUUCUUUCAUUAACCCACUUGAAAUACUGGGGUCGAGAGAGAUCGAAGAAAAAAUAGAAGUCCUUUUGCAGGAUCUAGAUCCCUUAGUUGCAGGAAUGGCAGCCCUUGGUUUGAACAACCGCAAUGUAGAAAAUCCAUCAUCGCAUAGAACACCAACAACUUCUCUCGUGGAUGGAUCUGGUGUUUAUGGCAGAGAUGAUGACAGGGAAGCAAUACUGAAGUUGCUUCUAUCAAAGGAUGCAAAUGGAGGAAACCCUGGUGUCGUCCCCAUUAGGGGAAUGGGCGGGGUUGGUAAAACCACGCUUGCUCAGCUUGUAUACAAUCACAGAAGAGUACAGAAGCGGUUCGACCUCAAAGCUUGGGUUUGUGUUUCAGAAGAUUUCAGUGUUUUGAAGUUAACCAAGGCGAUCCUUGAGGGGUUCGGUUCAAAGCCUGCUUCUGAUAAUCUGGAUAAGCUCCAGCUUCAGUUGAAGGACAGAUUGGAGGGAAAGAGAUUCUUGCUUGUUUUAGAUGACGUUUGGAAUGAAGAUUAUGCUGAGUGGGACAAGUUGCUUACCCCCCUGAAGUACGGAGCACAAGGGAGUAAGAUUCUUGUCACAACACGCAAUGAAAGUGUAGCAUCAGUCAUGAGAACUGUUCCAACUCAUCAUCUAAAAGAAUUGACGGAAGACAGCUGCUGGUCCUUGUUUGCCAAACAUGCAUUUCGUGGUGAAAAUCCCAAUGCUCAUGAAGAGUUGCUAGAGAUUGGAAGAGAAAUAGUGAGAAAGUGUAAAGGCCUUCCUCUAGCUGCGAAAACACUCGGAGGUCUGCUACGCACCAAAAGAGAUGUCGAGGAGUGGGAGAAGAUAUUGGAAAGCAAUCUAUGGGAUUUACCCAAAGACAAUAUCCUCCCAGCUUUGAGAUUAAGUUAUCAUCAUCUCCCGUCACAUCUGAAGCAAUGUUUUGCUUAUUGUGCCAUAUUUCCAAAAGACCAUGAAUUUCAAAAGGAUGAAUUAGUGCUCUGUGGAUGGCAGAGGGCUUCUUAGUCCCUCUGCAGUAGAUGAUGAGAUGGAAAAGCAGGUGCUGAGUGCUUUGAUGAUCUCUUGUCAAGGUCGUUUUUCCAGCAAUCAAGUGCCUCGCUCAUCAUUUGUGAUGCACGAUCUCAUGCAUGACUUGGCUACCCAUGUGUCCGGUCAAUUUUGCUUCAGCUCCAGGUUGGGGGAAAAUAAUUCUUCCAAGGCCACAGAAGGACUCGACAUUUAUCACUCGUAGUAGAUACGGGAAGGGUUUUUCAAGCACAAAAUUAGAAAACAUCCGUGAAGCCCAACUUCUACGCACAUUCCAACUUUUCACGCUAUUGUUGUCCUCCCGAAUUUAUAAUGAGAUCUUUCAGUCAACACUUGGGCGCCUACGAGUGCUAAUCAUGACUGGUUGUAGAGAUCAACUUGUUAUGUUCAACUAGCAAGUUGAAGCAUUUGCGGUAUUUGGAUCUCUUCGGUCAGAUUUAGUAACGUUGCCUGAAGAAGUGAGUGCUCUUCUCAAUUUGCAAACGUUGAUCUUGAAAAUGCAAACAACUUGCUAGUCUACCUGAUCUUGGAAAUUUGAAGCACUUACGACAUCUGAAUCUUGAAGGAACAAGGAAUCGAAAGGUUGCCUGAAUCUCUGGAAAGGUUAAUCAACUUGCGGUAUCUUAACAUCAAGCACCCUUUGAAAGAGAUGCCACCACAUAUAGGUCAACUGGCAAAGCUCCAAACGUUGAAUUAUUUUCUCGUGGGAAGACAGAGUGAGACUAGCAUUAAAGAAUUGGGAAAGCUACGACAUCUACGGGGAGAACUUCAUAUUGGGAACCUUCAAAAUGUGGUGGAUGCUCGGGAUGCUGGUGAGGCAAAUUUGAAAGGUAAAAAGCACCUUGAUAAGCUGAGGUUUACAUGGGAUGGUGACACUCAUGACCCGCAACACGUAACAAGCACACUUGAGAAAUUAGAGCCAAAUAGAAAGCUGAAGGAUCUUCAGAUUGAUGAUUAUGGAGGUGUAAGGUUUCCAGAGUGGGUAGGAGAGUCCUCUUUCUCAAAUAUAGUGUCCUUGAAGCUCAAUGGAUGUACAAACUGCACCUCCUUACCACCGCUCGGGCAAUUAUCUUCUUUAGAGGAUCUCUCCAUUGAAGGAUUUUAUAAAGUUGUGACUGUGGGCUCUGAGUUCUAUGGGAGUUGUACUGCUAUGAAGAAGCCAUUUGAAUCCCUCAAAACAUUAUCUUUUAGAAGGAUGCCAGAGUGGCGCGAGUGGAUUUCAGACGAAGGCAGCCGGGAAGCCUUCCCUCUUCUUGAUGUGCUUUUAAUCGCAGAAUGCCCCAAAUUAGUUUCAUUUCCCAAAGGAGGGUUACCUGCUCCAGUCUUGACACGACUUGAGUUAGAAGAAUGCAGGAACUUGAAGCAGUUGCCUGAGAGUAUGCAUUCCCUCUUCCCAUCCCUUACCGAUUUGGUAAUAAGAGAUUGUUUAGAAGUUGAGUUGUGUCCAGAAGGGGGUUUUCCCUCCACAUUACAAUCACUUGAGAUUUCUAGAUGCAACAAACUCAUUGCUGGCCGCAUGCAAUGGGGCUUGCAAACGCUCCAUUCUCUUUCACGCUUUACAAUUGAUUGGGACGAAAAUGUUGAAUCCUUCCCUGAAGAGAUGCUGCUGCCCUCAAGUCUUACAUCUCUUAGAAUCUAUUCCCUACAACACCUGAAAUCUCUUGACUACAAGGGGCUUCAACACCUCACCUCUCUUAGAACAUUGAAUAUAAAGAACUGCCCUCUGAUUGAGUCAAUGCCAGAAGAAGGGUUGCCCUCCUCCCUUUCUUCUCUUGUAAUUGAAGGUUGUUCCAUGCUGAAAUCUCUUCCAAGGCUUCACCACCUCACCUCUCUUACAGCAUUGGGUAUAUAUGGCUGCCCUCUGAUUGAGUCAAUGCCAGAAGAAGGGUUGCCCUCCUCCCUUUUUAUUCUUUCAAUUCUCAAUUGUCCUCUGCUGGGUGAAAGUUGUGAAAGGGAGAAAGGUAAAGAUUGGCCCAAGAUUUCUCACAUUCCUCACAUAAGUAUAUAUUGAGGUAUUGCUACUAAAUAGUUUAUUUUCUUUUCAGUAAUCAAAGGCAAUUUCAGUUAAAAUUUGGAUGAAUGAAAUACAGAUAUUGUCCAUUUUGUAUUGUUUAUAUUUGUUGGAUGUUGAAAUACAGAUAUUUUCUUCCUAUUGUCUCUCAUUCAUCUCCAUAAAUAAUAAUCAUCAUUCUAUUUC
This 79478-nucleotide long non-coding RNA is filed under the name Populus tremula. RNAcentral describes it as "long non-coding RNA (PTRE_LNC001914)". The record is from RNAcentral. Lineage: Eukaryota; Viridiplantae; Streptophyta; Magnoliopsida; Malpighiales; Salicaceae.